Molecule: long non-coding RNA, 47983 nt
Filed under: Medicago truncatula (barrel medic)
Lineage: Eukaryota; Viridiplantae; Streptophyta; Magnoliopsida; Fabales; Fabaceae
Description: long non-coding RNA (MTRU_LNC001595)
Source: RNAcentral
AAACCACCAGUGUACAAGCCACCAGUUGAGAAGCCCCCCGUCUACAAACCUCCUGUAGAGAAGCCUCCUGUUUACAAGCCACCAGUAGAGAAACCACCAGUGUACAAGCCACCAGUUGAAAAGCCUCCGGUCUACAAACCACCUGUAGAGAAGCCACCUGUUUACAAGCCACCUGUAGAGAAACCACCAGUGUACAAGCCACCAGUUGAGAAGCCUCCGGUCUACAAACCACCUGUAGAGAAGCCACCUGUUUAUAAGCCACCUGUAGAGAAACCACCAGUGUACAAGCCACCAGUUGAGAAGCCCCCGGUCUACAAACCCCCUGUAGAGAAGCCUCCUGUCUACAAGCCACCAGUAGAGAAACCGCCAGUGUACAAGCCACCAGUUGAGAAACCCCCGGUCUACAAACCCCCUGUUGAGAAGCCUCCUAUCUACAAGCCACCAGUAGAGAAACCACCAGUGUACAAGCCACCUGUUGAGAAGCCUCCAGUUUAUAAGCCACCAGUUGAGAAGCCACCUGUGUACAAGCCCCCAGUCGAGAAACCCCCGGUCUACAAACCUCCUGUAGAGAAGCCUCCAGUUUACAAGCCACCGGUGUACAAACCUCCAGUUUACAAGCCACCAGUAGAGAAGCCACCUGUGUACAAGCCUCCGGUCUACAAACCCCCAGUUGAGAAACCUCCAGUUUACAAGCCACCGGUUUACAAGCCUCCAGUCGAGAAGCCACCAGUUUACGGACCACCUCACCACCCAUAGUACCCUCCCGUAGUUGGCACUACUCGUUUUUAAAGCAUGCUUUUAAGUAAAUAAGAGAUAUAUAAACUUUCCAAAGCAAGGAUCAUAUAUUCUUGGAAAUCUUCAAUUCAAUCUUAUGUUUACAAAUGCUAUUGCCAAGACAAGAGUGUGAAAGAAAAUGGUGCCAUUUGUACUUCAAAUUAUGAAUAAGAACGUUAUGAUUUAGUACUUCUUAUUUUGUGUUUGUUGACUAAAUUUGACAGAGUAUACUUUACUUGUUCCCUAUCAUACCAGUAAGGUGCAUGAAAGUUCAGUCUUGAACGGUGGAAAUAAAUAAUAAUUAAUUAAUGUUUGAAUCUCGAAUUUACUAAAUUAACGAACUUGUAAUUUCAUUGGAAUAUACUUGACUCAGUGGUAGCUUUAGUUUCAACUUGGAAAAUGUCCGUGAUAUGACAAUUUUUCCAAAACAAGUUUAGGUUAAGAUUUUUAUUUUUUAUUUUUGACAUAAUAUACGUUAAGAUUCUUGUGUACUAAUAGAAACUGAAAAAUCAUUUUGGUGCUUAAAGUUUAAUGAGUUGGACAAAUUAUUCACUCAAAUAUGGAAAUGAUAAUGUAGUCUCUUCAAUUAUAGAAUGCCAUUUAAUUUAGUUACCUUUUCAAAAUUAGCAUCACAAUUCGCAAGGUUUUAUAUUUGUGUUGAUGCAUCAGUUAAGAUAAGGAUCACGAAAAUUAGGUUUUUGACUUGGUUUUGAUUAGGGGUGUUUGCGGUGCGUUUUGGUUCGGUUUUGAGCAUAAAAGUCAUCUAAACCUCAAGAUAAAAAAGCAUGCGGUUUGGUUUGAUUCAGUUGAUUUUUAUAUAGUCAUCCAAACAAAACCAAACCAAACCAAUGCGGUUUGGAUUGGUUCGGUUUGUACGGUUUAUCGCGAGAUGAAAAAAUAUUACAUUAACUCUAAUAUUGCCAACUUGUUACAAAAUAAACAUAGGACAUUUUAUUUUGUUGUUUAUAUGAUAAAAUAUUAGGUAAAACUUAUAUCAAAAUAGGUAAAAUUAAGAAGAAACAUAAGCAUGAAACAAAUUAUUGAGAAGUAAAAGAAACAAAUUCAUCACUGAAAAUGAAUUGAAAGAGAUGGAAAGGAAUUAGAAUCGAACCAGAUGGUGCAACAAUGGAAAAAUCUAAUCAAAUGAGAUUAUUCUUGAGCUAUGUAAUUGGGCUAGUACAUGUUUAAGUAAUAUUCAUUAUUCUUGCGGUUUGGUUUGGUACUUGAGAUGCAAACCGCAAACCAAACCGAACCGCGCGGUUCAGUGUAAAAGUCAUCCGAGUUCAUUCGAACCAAGUGCAGUUUUUUGCGGUUUCGGUUUGGAUUGGUUUGGUUUGCGGUUUUUCUAUUGGGUUCGUUCGGUUUUGAACACCCCUAGUUUUGAUCGAUGUUUCCUGAAGAUAUGUUUUGGUAAUUGAACUAAAUAAACUGUCUUACAUUCUUCAAUUAAUGAGAUUAAAUUUCCUUUUUACAAAUAUCAAUGAUUAAUGUCAAGGACUAAAAUGAUGAUUAGUGUCGCGCCAUUUUUCGGAGGUCAAGGCCAUUUGAUUAGCUUUUGACUCACUUUUUAUCUCACGACUGAACAAAAAAUUUUUUAAAGGGGAAAAAGUUUCAAACCACCCAUUUUGAAAAGAUUUAGGGUUCAUGGGUUGGUUAUAUUUAGGGAAGGUAUUAGCACCCUAAAUAUUCGUAGUACUCUAUGAGUACCUCUUGAUUUUAUUUAACUUUUUGUGCUUAAACUUGCUUGCUUUUGAAGAGAUGAAAAUAGAAUUGAAAGAUGAGUUGAAACGAAAAAGAAAAUUGAUUUUAAUUGAAAAGAAAAAAGAAAAUUGUUUUUUAGUUGAUUUGGAAGGACAAGGUCCUCUGCCUACGUACCCGUGAGGGAUCAAAACCUCGUAGUUCGGGGUAGAAAUUGACGUUUGAUUGGUUUUAUAUUUUUUAUUAGUUUUUGAAAAAAGGUUUGAAAUAAAAAGCCAAGUGGCAAAUGAGAAUUGAUUUGUGUUUUUUGGAUUGAAGGAAAUAGACUUGAAGUAGAAUUAAAAUUGAUUUGAGAUUUGAUUAAGAAAGAAAAUAGAAAUAGCGAUCACUUCAUUGAAAGUCAAGGUUUGUUAUAAAAAUAUUUUUUUGUGAUUUUUUGAUAUUUGGAUGUUUUUGCCGUUUUUGAAUAAUGAAUGAAAAUUAAACUAACAGAGCAAUGAAAAUAAAAGUGCGUGGGCGUGAAGAAAAGAUUUUGGUUUAUGUUAGUUCGACAAUAUAAAUAGUAUUUAAUAUAUGUUGUGUUCACUUUGGAUAUUAUCGGACAAAAUUUUGACAAUAAUAAAAAUAAUAAUAGUAAAAUAGAAUAAAAAAUAGAAAGACUAAAGUGAAUCAAAAUGAGAUAAAAAGAUAAAUAUUUAAAACGGAUUUAAAGUUAAUAAAAGAUGGAAACUAAAAUUAAAUGAAAUUUGAAAAUUGAGAGAAGAGGGUCCGACUUGGAACCAAAUAUGAGGUAUUUUAAAAUACCUUCCUAUCGAAAUUUUGUUCGAAAGGCUGAGACCGGUCGGAGUUAAAUGACACGUGUCAGUGCUGCCUUAGGUCAAAAAUUGGGGUAUGACAAUUAGCUCAAUAAUUAAUUAUUGUGAUUUCUUCAUUUUAUAUUUAUAUUUAAGAAUAAAAAAAAAAAAAUGACGAUAUCAACUUUGACACAUUACAUAUUCAAUCAAUGUUGACUUGACCAUCAAUGCUACAUAUCCGGAUGUAAGAGUAGUUCGACGAGUUUAUUUUUGUCACUUUUGUUGAUAUUUUGUUGGUUUAUGCUAUUAACUUGCAUCUAGUAAACUUGUUCAUAGCUUCAUCAUUUUCAGUUUUAGUGACAUGAUAUUUGUGUUGUAUUCAAUGUGAUUUACCGCGCGAUAUGAAUAAUAUAUAUUUUUAGUCAAAAUUAAUCAUGUCGGACCUGAGAUCUUUGGUUUGAUGGCGUUGAACGACCUUUGAGUAAGACAAUGUUAAACCAAAAUGAGUUUUAUACAAUGCCUCUGAAGUUUUGAUAAUAACAAAGUAUAAAAAGAACAAUUGAAUAUGCCAAUGUUGUUCAAGUAUGCUCGACCAUAUAUUAAAAUUCAAAGUAUUAAAUCAAGUUUUGAUUCUGAAAGAACAAGAUUAUGAACAUAUACAAGAGCAUCUGCAACUUAUGAGAAGCUGGAAAUUUGGAUCAGACUCUGAAUAAGUAAGACUGUGAAAGUCGGGAGUGUAACACCCUGAACCCCACAUACUAUUUUUAAAAGUAAUAAUUCAACAUUUAAAUAAACAUAUCAAGAUGUUACUCUUCAUUUUCAACACAUAACAAGUCUCCAUCUUAAAAUAUCAACUCACAGCGGAAAUAAGUCUCAACAACACAAAUGUCAUACAUCAUAUCUCAGAAUAAGUACAUCAUCAAAAUAAACUCAAGGUUCCUCAAACAUAAUAUGAUAACAUAAAUAAAAUCCCAACAUCCUAAUCAGAGAACCACUAGACAAGACUCCAAAAUCAAAGCGGUAAAAGAUGAGUAGGCUGCAAGCCGUCCUCGGAAACUCAUGGUAACUUUGCGUCCUCAACCUGCAAGUCUCCACCACAAGGGCGUAGGCGACCAUUUGCCAAACGUAGGGUAAGAUAUAAAUUUAACAUAGAGGAAAUAUGAACACAUAUAUAGUAUUAGGAUCGCAACAUCAUAUACAAGUAUUCAUCUUAAGCAAUACCAUAUUAACAUGCAUUCUCAUUGAUUGGUAAAAUAUACACAACAAAUCUCAAAUCAUCAUCACAAGAAUAUAAAAAAGUAAACACAUCAUUGAUUAAUCAUCCAAUGGAAUACAUAGGAUUCACACAUUAUCACUUUCAUUAAAUCACACAUUUUCCAUAAAAUACACAUAGUCAUGUAUGCAUCUUUCACAUAGAUUCACAUAGUCAAGUACUCAUCUUCUACAUAGACUCUCAUGUACGAAAUGUUCCUACUCGACUUUAUAUGCAUGUGGUACUGUUUUCGAUAUCAGAGGUAUUUUCUGAGUGAUUUCACCGUCACUUGGACUGACCAUGAAUGCAUGAACAUCUCAUCAUGACUCGACAAUGCAUAAUUCAUAUAACUCGACAAUUUACAUCAACAACAUCAUCACAUCGUAUAUUAAUUCAUCGUCGCUAUAUCAUCAUCAUCAUCAUCAUCAUCAUCAUCAUCAUUUUCAAUGUCAUUAUAUCAUCAUCAUCAUCAUCAUAUCAACAUCUAUAUAUAGUUCAAAUCAUCAUGUCAAACCAUAUCAAUAUGUAUCCACCUCGUCUCGCAAUCACAUUCACAGUCAUCAUCAUUAUAUAUUCAUAAGACAUUAUUCUACAUCAUCAAGUAUACUUCGUUAAUCAUCUAACAAGUUCACAGUCAUUUCAUGAUUCAAUUAUAAUUAAAUCACAAGUUUAUUUCUAACCAUUUCAAUUGCUAAGUUUACUUCCAUCAUAAGCUAGGUUAAUUACUCUUACACAUCAAAAUUAUACUUCUAUUAAUCAAGUUUAGAGGUUUGUGACAUAUUCACAUGCAUUGGAUACCUUAAAAUACCAAAAAUAUGAGUUUCCCACUAUAGGGAGGGUUGCACGGUAGUGCCAUCCAGGUGCACAGUCGUGCUCAUCAUGCAGGUAGGGAAAAGCUAUAAUUUUUGCGUUUUGCUCAGGAAGAACCCCUUUCAACACCAUUUUUCGAUCCAAUUCACACCAAACUAGACCCAAAUCAUAAAACUAAUGUUGUCUAAUCAAUUACACAUUAAUUUUACCUUAACUAACUUUAUUAUACUCAUUAUUAUCGUCAAUUAACAUGAACUUCAAUUGUUUUAAACUUAUCACUUCAAACCCAUUUUUAACAUGGUAAUUCAAACCCCAAACAUAGUAACAACCAAAUCAACAUCCCUUAUUCAAAAUGAACACAAAAAAAUUCAUCAAUUCACAUUAUAAACAUCAACUCAACAAUUAUCAACAAUUAUCAUGAAUUUCACCAAUUUCACAUAAAACUCAAAAACCCUAAUUCACCAUAAUCAAACAUUGAUUUUAACACAACUGUUAGGUUUGUAGUCUUGACAUGUUGGUGCGACAUCAUAGCGUGCCUUGUUCCGAUUUCUUGGAGAUUGUAUUUAAAUGUGAAAUCGCAGAAGAAAACUAAACGCAUCACAACUAAGAAAAGGUAGAAUAAAACCUUUCUACAAACAAAGCGCACAUCACUUGAAAGCAAAAUAAAUACGCAACUAAAUUUCAAAAAAGAUAUGCAUAAAUUAUCAUAGAAUAAGGCACCAAGUAACACGUUCUUACGUCUCAGAUUACCAAAUGGCUCUCCGAAAAAUAACCAGAGUAUGAUAAAAUUACAGAUUUCCCAAAACAAAAGGAACAUAAACUAAAAUACAAAGCACGAAAACAAAGAAGACACAACAACAUAACUCUUCAUCCACUAACUUUCCAUCAACCAAAAUCUUGGAGGGGUCCAGCUCGCUCACAUUAUCAUCAGGGUUAAAAUGCAGAACUUGCGCCCUAGUAUGCUCAAAGCCAUUGUCAAAAUAUAAGGCAAGAUCCCCCUUGCCAUCCUCAACGACGAAUUGAGCUUUGGCGAGAUCCCCUUACAACUAGACGACCUUCUUCUUCCAUGAAUCUCUCUCCAGCUCAACAACUUCUUUUUCAUCCUUCAUAUCUUUGGUCGUCUUCUCUGCAGUCUUCUUAUCCUCCAAGGCUUCCUUCAACCUACUUUCAAGACCCGUUGCUUUAUGCUUCCACUUCUCCACAUCUUCAUGAGCGUCUUUAUACUUUGCCUCUAAAGCACCAUGUUUCUUCUCCAUCACUUUUCCUAAUAAAAGGACCCGGAGCACUAAUAUUCUUGUAUCCAUUACUAGCUCGCCAAAUUUGCUUUUAACGCCAGCAUCAACGUCAACCUUAGACAGUGGCACUUUAUCCUCCAUGUAGCUACGAUAAACGCAUGACUUAAAAGUUGAAAACCCACUAACAUUACUAGAAUUUAAGUAAAAUCUCAUCAUCAAAUUAAACUCUCAUACCUACGAAAGUCGAAAUCUUUAUGCCAAAAAGAGUCAGCCACCUGAACAUUCAGAGAAAUGGUUCCCGCCACCCCGCUAGCAUAAUCAUCAUCCUUCCGACUGGCAACAAAUGUCCGCUUCGAGUCGCCCUUCCCAGUCCUCAUCUUCUUGCGUCUGGGCGAGUCAGUUUGCUCAGCCAGUACCCCAUUGCCUGCCGUCUCCAUGUUAUCAAUGUCCAUAUCCGAAUGUAACAUCCUAAAAUUUUAAGUCUAUAUUCAAAUGUAGUUAAAAAUAUAAAACAUAAUAGUGUAAUUAUUUUAAAAUACGCGAAGAUAAAAAUAAAGACAAAUAAAUAUGAUAUAAUUUCUUAUUAAUAAUUAAAUUUUAUUGGAUAAAAAGAAAAGGAGAAAGAAAGAAAAACAAAAAUAAAGGGAGUGCAAAUAACAAUUAUUUUUAGAAAAGAAAAAAAAAGUUAUAUACUUUCUCGAAUUUUUUUUCUGCCCUUGUUUAUGCAAAAAAAUACAAAAAUGCCCCACUUUUUCGAAAAAUUGCGUAAAUGCCCUACUUUUUCAGAAGCCCCUGGUACUACUCCACUUGGAGUUGCGGGGUACCCUAAAAAGUCACAAUUUUUUUGUCCUUAUUGUACGCCGCUACUUGGACUUGCGGGGUACUUUCCUACUUUUUUUUUUCCACUUUUUUUACUACCCCGCGAGUCUUAGCUUUUGCUUUUUUUUUUAAAAUUUUUUUUUUUUAAAUACCCCUCUACUUGGAGUAGAGUGGUAUAAUGAAGACAAAAAAAAUUCAACGUGUAAUAAUUACUCUCAAAUAAUAAAAAACUAAUUAAAAUUAUAUAACCAAUAAAAUACCAUCUACAAUGAUUAUAAAUGCCCGGCUGUCCCACACCUUCGUCUUCGACGAUCUCUUCCGCGAUUUACUUGAGGGUUAUGUUGGUCUUCGUCAUUUUUAUUUGUAGUUGAUUGUAUCUGACUACCAUAACCCAGUGACAACGACACAUCGUGUUCUCUUGUUGGCCAUCCCAUAUCCAGAAAUUGUUCAUUGGAGUUCAACGAAGUCGGAGAGAAGUGAGAUAAUAGGUUUGUUGGUGUUGGUGGGUGGUUGUAGUUUUGGUUGGUGUACAUUGGGUAUUGUGGGUUGUUGUAGGGGGGUAAUUGGUGUUGGACGGUCCAGCUUGGUUUGGGUCAUUAUAGGAGAAGUAGUUGUUGUUGGAUGUGUUAGCUUGGUUUGGUUCAUUGUAACCAUAAUUUGUCAUUGAAUUUUGUUGGUAAGUUGACUGAUAUUGGGGCUCAUAUGCAUUUCUCGGGGAGGUAUAUGGUGGUGGUUGGAUGAUAUUUUGUUGGGGGGUGUCGAGAAAUUCAUACAUUACAGAACCAUGAAUGUUUUGUGUUGUAUGUGGUUGGGAUUGAUGAUCUUGUAGUUGAGAAAAAAUGUCUUGAUCCCAAAAAUCAUCAUGAAUUGGUGUUUGGUUGUUGUGAAUUUCAGGUUCAUGUUCCGGCUCCGGCUCUUCUUGUUCGUCUGGAUCUGAAUCUGAUGGUUUUGUCUCAACUGAAAUCCUUAGACGUGGGUUGCAUGUGGUUGUCAACCACUCAAUAUACGCAUGAGUUGGGGUGAGUGAUCUUGGCCGCAUGUGAGGUAAAAUAUAACUCCGUCGGUUGUCCCAAUGUAAGCUCUCUUGUGGAAAGUGAAAACCAUUUGAUUGGUACCACAUCUUGAACCGUUUGUCCACUAUAUGGAAUUGUCGCAUGUCUCGUGGGGCCCCUGGUAUUUCCUGUGGCAAACCAAAUUCUAGCUUGACCCUAUCAGUUGGAUGCCAUUCAACUCUGUCAAAACAUAUAAGGUGAGUUGUUGCAGUCCACUCCCAAUAGUCUUCAGGAAAAUUGUGUGGAACAUUCUUGUAUGGUCUCCAUUUAAACUGGCAGAAGAGAGAAGUUGUAGUGUAAGGUUAACAAUUUUGAUAUAUAUAUAUAUAUAUAUAUAUAUAUAUAUAUAUAGUUCGAUAGGUGAAAUAUAUAUUCAUUAUUAAUUAAAUAACUCCUAAUUAAAUACUUGUAAAAAAACUCAUGAUUAAAUAAAUAAUUAAUUUAUAAUCGCGACAUUUUUUUAGUCCUAUAUUAAUUGCAUGUCCUACUUUUUUUUUUCUUACAAAAGAAAGUUAACAUAUAGCUUUUUAUUUCUUUACGACCAUGAAAGUGUUAAUAUGUAGCUUAAAUAACAAAAUAUCUUAAUUAUAUUUAAUUAGACCAUGAAAGUUAGUUUACCCUUGAAAUUACAUAAAAAAAAAAUUACCGUUCAAUAUAUAUAUAUAUAUAUAUAUAUAUAUAUAUAUAUAUAUAAACUCAUACAUUCAAAAAUCAAUUAUAAUAUUACUUGAUGUUCCAGUAUGUCAUCAAACUUUUUUCUGUAAGAUAUAGUGUCAUGGCUUGGAUUCUCGUAGUAUCUUGAACCUGCACCUGUCCAUCUAACAAAUGAUAUAAACAAAUUAGUAGCUAAUUUAUCAAAUAAUAAUAUUAAUAAGAAGCGAGAAUAUGCGAGGAAAUUAACAAAAAAAAUAAAUAAAUUAAUUGACCACGAUUACUUUAAUCCUAGCGGCUACUGGAGUGGGUUAUCAUUUCUCGGAGCGAUAUAACUCAACCGACAAUAUCCCCAAACUUGUAACAGAAAAUGACAUCCAGAUAGUGCUUUUAUAUUUGGGUGUGAUGCCUCACACAAGCCACGAUAAAGGUAAGCCAAAACUGCCGAUCCCCAACUAUAAUUUCUUGUUUCAUUAAAAUCCAUUAACAAAUACAACCAAGAGUUGUGCACAAAUAAUCCAGUUGUAUUAGGAAACAAGAACCCUCCAAAGAGGUAUAGUAGGUACCUCCUGUGUGUUGUAUUUUUACCUCCGGAGGAGAUUGUUCACUGAAGUUAUUAUCGACCAGAUUAUCCUUUAAUCACGACAACGAGAGAGUAAAACCAUCAGUUUUGUGUGCUGGAGGAGUUAUUCCCAACAAUUGAGCACAAUUAUUCCACAGAAGAUUUGGAGGAGCCGUAACAAUUGGUCCUCCAAAAGGUAAGCCGAGUAAAAUAUAUACGUCUUCAAACGUGAUUGUACAUUCACCCGUUCGAAAAUGAAAAGUAUGUGUUUCGGACCGCUAUCUUUCUACAAGAGUGGUUACGAUGUGCCUAUCAAUUUUGUAACGCCCUAUUUGAGAAACCUCAAAAAAUCCAGCUUGACGUAGAUAAUCUUCAAUAUAAGGACUUGGUAUGAUGUUUUGCCGUGUACGAGUGGUUAGAGGUGCACCCUCUGCAUCCUAACAAAAAAUAAUAAAGGAAUAAAAUUAAAACAUAAUCAAAAUAUAAAUUUAAAAAAACGUGAACAUAUUUAAAUUAAUAUUAAAAAAUAAAAAUGACAUUAACAAAUUAAUAUCUAUAUAUACCCAUCUUCUUAUAUGUUCUUCCAUGGAUCUAUGAUCAUUUUCCAACCACAAGUAUGCCAUUGCUUUAUAGAAUUUGAUUGAAAUAAUCUCUUAUGUGAGUGAGUAAGGAAAGGAUUGAGAUAAGUAGAAUAUGUGUAAAGAGUAAAAAUAUAGUUGUGGUAUUUAUAAUGUAAAACUAUGUGUAAAUGGUAGAAGUAGUAGUGUGGUAUUUUAAUCAAUGAAGUGAAGAGUUCCUGUGUUACUACUGCAACGCAUGCAAGCCAACAGUGUUCAAAUAAACAUAGAAAUGACAAUUGCAUCAAUAGCAGAAGCAUGGUGUUCAACAAUAUUGAAUUAAUUCGUAAACUUUGCCUCAUGAGAUGACCAUUGCAUGUAAAAAAUACAUUAAUUUCUUGCAAGAAAUUUUUGACUGAAAUGACCAAUGCAUGUUUUGAUCACGUGAAGCAUGCUAGCAAACAAAUGGCCGACAAGCUGCCUCUGAAUAACCAAUAGGAACGGCGCGUGCAAAUACUACCCCGCCACUCUGGGUUGCGUGGUACCCCCAGCUGGCGCAUGCUUUACAUACCCCGCCACUCCAGCUUGCGUGGUACCCCCCAGCUGGCGCGUGCUUUACCUACCCCGCUACUCUAGCUUGCGUGGUACCCUCUAGCCCGCUAGUCCAAACUGCGUUGUACCUUUUUUAAUUUUCCCGCUCGAAGGGCAGAUUAAAUUACAUGUUAGUAUAAAUAAAAGUGGUCUGCAUGAUAUCAUUGUAUCAAACCAUUCUACUUCAUACUCUUACUCAUUUCUUAAGAUCAAACCAAUUCAAUGGCACCAAAUAUAAACGUUUUUGUGUACUAUAAUGGAGAAGUUAAACAAAAUGAAUCCGGUAUUUUUUUUCAAAGUCAGUAUACCAAAGGUUUUAAAGUCAGCAUGGCUAGUACUUACUUGCAUCUCAAAAGAAGAAUUGCGGAAAAAGUAUGUCUCGAAGAUAAUAUGGUUGUGUCUGAAAUUAUGUGUCGGAAUCCUAUGUUUGUUGGAACUACCACAAUUCAUUACCAGGCGUUAAGAAUAACUGAUAACGACGAUGUCGAGUUUAUGUUUAACGUACAUAAAAGUCACAGUUCUUUGUCCUAUAUAGAGCUUUAUGUUACGUUUGAGAUGAAGAAUCCAACAUCUAAUUUUGAGUUAAAUUACCCAUCGAGUUCUAGUCAACACCAAAGUCUACCACAACACUACAAUCCGUCAUCGUCGCAAGAACACUACAACCCAUCAUCGUCCCAACCGCACUAUAACCCGUCUCCCAUUUAUGAUGCAUCCUUAUCGCAACCUUUUCAGUCAAAGUGGUCACAAAAUGUGUACGAACCAUCACAAAUAAUAACUCAACCUCAUCCCUCUCAAACACCAUCUCGUUCAACACAACCCAAAACCUUAAACGAUGAAAUCAAUAUAUUCACCUCCCAAUUUCAAGACCAACCAAAUGAUGAAGUUCAAGAUGAUGAAGACGAUGAUGAUGAAGAACUCCUUGCCGCACAAAACGGUGACGAGAACGAAGAAGACGAAGACGACGAUCUGCCACUACUACCAAUUUUACCAAUCAGAGCUUCUUACAACCCACCAAGGUCCAUGCGCAACGUCAAUGAUGACCACUCAACUGAACUUUAUCAUUCAAUGGCUCUUCCGGUCGAUCAAGGUAUUGCCCUAGGGAUGCAAUUUCAUAACAAGAAUGAUUGCAUUCUCGCAAUUAAAUUUUAUCACAUGAAAAAAUCAACGGAUUAUAUUGUGAAAAAAUCAGAUCCUGAAAGGUAUGUCAUCAAAUGUAAAGAUACAAAAUGUGGUUUCAAAUUGCGGGCCUCGUGGAGGAAAAAAACUGAUAAAUGGGAGAUUGGGAAAAUGAAUGAUCAUACAUGUGUCUCAACAGAAAUGACGCAAGAUCAUCAUAAACUUAGUUACAAUGUGAUAUGUGAAAGUGUUAAAUCACUACUACAUAUGGAUACUUCAAUUACAGUGAAGGUUAUAAUUGCACACAUCCGAGAGAAGUUUAAUUACACAGUUUCAUACAGAAAGGCAUGGAGAGCACGGAAUAAGGCGAUUAAAUCAAUUUAUAGUAAUUGGGAGGAGUCUUAUGAAGAACUACCACAAUGGUUGAUGGUCAUGGAAAAAGAUUUGCCAGGAACAAUAAUUGAUUUUCAAACGGACCCAUCAACAGAAGUGGCAAAUGAGACCGUCUUCAAGCGUCUUUUUUGGGCCUUUCGUCCGUGCAUCUCAGGUUUCGAAUUCUGCAAACCAAUUGUCCAAAUUGACGCAACUUGGUUGUAUGGUAAAUACAAGGGAACAUUGUUGUUAGCUGUUGCGCAAGAUGGGAACAACAAGAUAUUUCCCAUAGCUUUUGCAAUCGUGGAAGGCGAGACCAAGGAGGCAUGGAGUUUCUUUUUGAAAAAUUUAAGGCAGCAUGUCACCCCACAAGAGAACAUAUGCCUCAUUUCUGAUAGACAUGUGUCGAUAAAGAGCGCGUAUGAUGAUCCACAGAAUGGAUGGCACGAUGCUCCGACAAGCCAUGUUUAUUGUGUCCGACACAUUGCACAAAACUUUAUGAGAUCAUUCAAGGAUGGAGAACUAAAGAAGAAAGUUGAAUGCAUGGGUAAAAAUCAUAUCUCUUUCCACGUAAAUUCGACAUUUUAUUUGUUUAAAAUGACACAUCUAACUUUUUUCAAAACAAUGCAGGUUACGCCAUGAACAUCCCUACAUUCGAAUACUACCGUUCUGAAAUUGCUGUUGCAGACCGAAAGGCUUUAGCAUGGGUCGACAAUAUUCCCAAACAAAAGUGGACUCAAUCACAUGAUGAUGGUCGACGAUGGGGCCAUAUGACAAGUAACUUGGUAGAGUCACAAAACAACGUGUAUAAGGGUAUUCGAGGACUUCCGAUCACAGCUAUCGUGAAAGCAUCAUAUUACAGGUUGGCGGCCUUGUUUGCUAAAAGAGGACAUGAGGCAGCGGCAAGGGUAAAUUCUGGUGAGCCAUUCUCAGAAAACAGCAUGAAAUAUCUCAGGAAUGAGGUGAUUAAAUCCAACAGUCAUCAUGUCACACAGUUUGACCGGGAUCGGUAUACCUUUUCCGUCCGUGAAACCAUCGACCAUAAAGAAGGAUUGCCAAAGGGAGAAUACAAGGUGGACCUGCAAAAUAAAUGGUGUGACUGUGGACGAUUCAGAGCGUUACACCUACCAUGCUCACAUGUCAUUGCCGCAUGUUCUAGCUUUUCUCACGACUACAAGACUUUUGUCGAUAACAAAUUCACGAAUGAGUGUGUAUACGCCGUAUACAACAUCCACUUCGACGUGGUUCACCACCAGACAUAUUGGCCUAAUUAUGAAGGACUGAAGGUGGUUCCCAACAAGUCCAUGUGUAGGGUAAAGAAAGGUCGUCCACCAAUUACUCGCAUUAGGACCGAGAUGGACGAUGUGGAAACUGAGAGAAGAUGCGGCGUUUGUAGGAUGCCUGGUCAUUCCCGCAAAGAUUGCAUUAAUAUUAGACACCAGUAAAAAUCUAGUCUUUAUUUCGUUUGUAGGAUGUAUGGUCAUUUCCACAAAUAAUUGUAGAUUUUAUGGUAUUUUAUUGGUUAUAUAAUUUUAAUUAGUUUUUUAUUAUUUGAGAGUAAUUAUUACACGUUGAAUUUUUAUUUUUUUUUGUCUUCAUUAUACCACUAUACUCCAAGUAUUUAAAUUUUUUUUUAAAAAAAGCAAAAGCUAAAACGCAAGUCCAACUUGCGGGGUAGUAAAAAAAGUGGAAAAAAAAAAGGAAAGUACCCCGCAAGUCCAAGUAACGGGGUACAAUAAGGACAAAAAAUUUGUGACUUUUUAGGGUACCCCACAACUCCAAGUGGAGUGGUACCAGGGGCUUAUGAAAAAGUAGGGCAUUUGCGCAAUUUUUCGAAAAAGUGGGGCAUUUUUUUAUUAUCUUUGCAUAAACAAAGGCAGAAAAAAAAAAUUCUACUUUCUCCCCACGUUUUCUCAAAAUUUGUUUCUAAAAUAAUAAUAAAAAAAGAAAUAGUUAUUUCAGAAAGAGAAACCGUGUGAUAUUUUUUAAUUAGUGUACACCUACACUUCUCAUGUGCCUAUAAAUAAGAUGCUUAGUUGAACAUAAACUCACACUACAAAACUCUCCUCUCUCUAAAAAAUCAGGUUAGUUCUCUCUCUCUCUCUCUCUCUCUCUCCUUUUCUGAACUUUCUCUAUUCAAUCUAUAGUCAUUCUUUAUUCUUUUGAAAGAGACAAGAUUUACUACUAAAAUAACCUCAGAUUUGGUCCCCACAACCCUUCUUUUGGGAAGAACAACAACAUAGUAUACCCUUCUUUUGGGAAGAACAACAACAUAGUAUUAGAAUGUUCUUUUAUCAGAUGAGAAAGUGACAGUAGUUUAGUUCUUUUCAACCUAAUCAAACCAUGAAAAUAGUUUAGCUCUUUUCAACCAUUCUUUUUCAACAGAAACAUCAUUCAAUAAAAUAAAAUAAAGAGAUCUCAGAUCUGUUUUAGACUUUUAGUAGAAAAAAUUACACGAUUUAAUUAUUGUAUUUUUUAUACUGAUACAAACUAUGAAGAUUGAAACAAAGUUCAUAAGAAAGUUGAGAUCUUGUUUAAUUCAUAUUUUUAGUUUAAAGAAAAAUAAAGAAAUGAACAUUGUUUUAAGAAUGACGUAAUGACUAUUAAAUGGCUUUUAAACAUUCUGACUAUAUAAAAAGGUAGUAACAUAAGUUUCAUUUGAAAUAAAAUAAAAUCAAGCUAUUAUUAAAAUAUAUCUAAUAUAAUCUGAAGAAAAAAAAAGGACGUGAUACAGAGAAACAAAGGAAUUAGAAAACUUUAACUCGUUAUCUCUAUUAUUAUGACCUUGAUAAUGACUAUAGUCUAAUAGAUAGUUUAUUUUGGGUGAGUAUUCUAGGUGAUAUUGGAGCUGCUUUCGACGGAAACAAUAUUGCAACCACUUGCGAAGAAUCCGAAGGUAAGGGGAAUUACUACUAAUAAAUUUUAAAGAUUUUGCAUAAGUUAUGUGCUUAAGUGAUUAUAUGUGAGUAAAUAACUCUACUUGUGAGAGUUAAUUUCUCGAUGAUGUGGUAAUUUCUAGCGAUCAAGUACAUGUCAAAGGACAUCGACUUAUAUGUGUUUUAGUUAAUAUAAUUAGGAGUUUUUGAAAAUAUAAUACAUAAGUAGAAGAAAAAGUUUUGUAAAUGAUGAAUUGAUUAGAUAGUUAUAUUAUGUUUAUUUGGUAUUACUCUUGUGUAAGUGAAUGAGCAUAUGAAUUUCAAUAAGUGUUAACUGAUUUCGAUGAGUGAAAUUAGUUGGAAAUAUAUGAUUUAAAGUGUCAAUUAUGAUUCGACGCGAUAAUUUAUAAUGUUAAUCAUGAUUAAAAACUUCUCUAUAAAAAGAAAUGAUCUAAGAGAGAUAGUUGUAUCCCACCUCAUUAAUUUUAUGGUAUCAACUCAUAGGUAUGUUGUAAAGGAAAGAAACUUAAGAAUGCCAAACUAUGAUCACUAACUUAGUACGUAGACAUAGUAUAUAUAGUUAUAUUGUACGUGUAGGAAAUUCUUUAAAACAAAUGUAUAUGUGCUUUUUAACUAGGCAACAUGAAUUAUUCUUUGUUAAAAUCUCAUGAAUAAAAAGAACAUGUACUAGUUUAAUUGAAUUACCUAAGUUCUUACUUACUGCUGAAAUUUCUAUGCUUAUAAAUAAAUGAAAAAGAACAUAUGCUGGUCAUUAAUUGUUCAGUUAUUAUGUACUGGCUUGAUUUACUUGCUGGAAUUUCUAUGCUUAUACAUAAAUGAAGAGGGACAUAUGCUGGUUAUUAUUUGUUGAGUUAUUAUAUACUGGUUUGAUUUACAUCACUGUACUAAUUGAAUAAAAUUCUGAUGUGGCUAAUCAAUUUUAUAAACAUAAAUGGUUAAUUGUUUGACAUUGUUGAGUUGAAUAUGAGUGUUUUGUCUUGUCUAGAAAGUAGGGACAAUUAAGGAGCUAUAACAGGUCCCUAUACACUCAGGUGUAGAUGAGAAUGAGGAUAGUUAUGGUUUGGUUACUUUGAGGAUCUAUCGAGGGCACUUGUGUUUCGAACGCCUAUCAAUAGUUGGGGAUUGCUUCCCGGCUGAAAGUACUCGUACUACCAGACACGGUGAGCCUGAAAAAACUAGACUAUCUAUGAUAAGGUAGUGCGAUCGGACUAGAAUGAUUAGAGUUUAAGCAUAUCUUGCUCAAAAUACUAAUAAUCAUGAUAUAGUUGCCGAAACGGCCUUAUGCUCAUUAGAGUGGAACCUCCAUGGAGUAGUGAAUUAUGAGAAGAAAAUAAACUAGAGUCAAGAAAAAAAAAGUCAAAAGAGUUCAUGCAUGUGUCAUGUUGAAUGUCAAACUAUUAAUUCAAAUUGGACCUCUUAAAAGAUAGUUUUUUUUUUUUUUUUUUUAUAAUAUGCUUUGUGAUUGUUGUUGGACAGUGAAUGAAAAGAAAAUAUUAUAUCUAUGUAAAUAUCAUUUUACCUUGCUGUAUAUAUAUUAUUUUCUUUUUCCUUAUGUAAUAAAUCACGUGGAAAACUUGUGUACGAGUAAUUCACCCUUCUUUGUUUGUUUUUGUAUCUUGUUGUUUUUUUUGGGUAUGUUCGGACGUUUUUAUAGAUGAUGCCAGAAAGACAUUUAGCUCACUCGGGAACCCGCAUGAUCGAGUUCCUUGAGGUAUUUUCUUUUGCAACACUUAUUAAAGAAGAAAGUAAUAAUAAAUCAAAACACUCACACAAAGACGCCUCAAGACUAUUGGAAUCACCCUAUCGUAUCAAAAGCUCAUGAAUAUCCAUAAGUAAAAACUUCUCCAAAAAGAACACCAUACCCUACUCAUAGGGUGCCAUCUUAUUAAAAUCAUACCCCAUCACUGCAAUCGGAGCAAUGAUCCAACAUAAAGGAAACUUUGGUUUUCCUUCCACCAUCACCAACGAAGUUGAGCCCUCAGGCUCUCCUUGCACCCUAACAAACGAAUCACACCAAUCCUUCUUAAAGUUAGAAGCAUAAGGAGGGAAAAGUUUUUUACUAGGAUAGGCACUAAUUGAAACCCACAUUCCCUUGUUUACAUCUUUCGUCCUAUAAAAAUGGAAGAAGACGCCAACAGAAGGCUCCAAACUCAUCCUUACAAAGUAGUUUGAAUCCACGAAUAAACGCCUAGCUAUUAGGACGUAUUUGCGAAGGCGCCACAUUCAGAAACUUUAGCACAUCCAUCUCAAAAUCCGUAAAGGGUCGUCACCCCAAACUCUUCCAACACCGUCAUAUACAUAAGAAAGGAAUCAUCCCUGACACCCUCCAAACGCUGAUCGCACACUCUCUCGCCUACAUCACAGGGCGACACUGUCACAUCUUUCUCGUUCUCAGUAGCAGAAGUAUCCAUCUUGUUUCAGAAUAAAUUGAUAUCCGAAGGCGACAUAUAUGAAAACACCGCUCGAAGAACUUCUUCAGCUAAAUGAUUCAUCUCCAACUCAUAAGAAUACGUCAAACACAUAAUCUCUUUUUGAGUAGACGGAAGAGGCAUAUAAUGACAAAUCUCUUGACAAGUUUUCCCCCUACGACAAAUCACUAUCACUACCAUUAGAGCUAUCGCUACUAGUGUUGCUAUCAUUGGACAAUUCCCCUAAAACCCUACGAUAAAAAAGCCCUAAUUCGUAAGCUUCCCAAUCAAUCAAGUCAUUAGGAUGUGUUGCAUGUCUUAAAGAAUCUCUCCUCAGUUGGUCUCUCUCAUCAAAAUUCGUAGGAGAGAAGGCGAAAAAUGAGAGAAGGAAAAUGGAAGAGUACUUGAGAAGAUUGAAAACGUGAGCUUAGAAAUCCAGACAAUCAGCUGGCAAGUGCGCGAAUACGGAGAACUAAAAGGCGAAAAAUGCGGAAGUGAAAUGAGGAAAGGAAGGAAAUGAAGGGUCAAAGAGUUUUAGAGGACAACAACAAUUAAAACCCCCUCAAAAAACACGCUCAUCCUUGGCACGAUUGGAGACACGUGUCAAGAUACACCCAGAUUCGAACACGUCACUAUCAUCGAAAGGUCACACAUUUUGGACCAUACAAUCAUGUUAAAAAUGAAAGAUCUCGUCGAUAUAGAAUUUCAAAAAACUCGUUGCCAACUCCUCAAACAGGAAACUUACUCGCCGUGCUGUUACAAAUCACUUCGCCUUGUCCCAAGACUCGUGGUUGGGGGCUGUGAACAAACAUCAGGCAUAAAACGCAUGACUCGACUAGCACACACCCUAGGGGGCUCUAGGAUAAAGCAUAAUCACCCAAGGGGGACUCUGUAAGCUCCAACAACAACAUCCAAAGACAUACACAAAAAAUACUGAUAAACGUAAAAUAAAUUCCAAAUGCUAAUUAAUCAUUUCGCCUUGUCCCAAGACUCGUGCUUAGGAGGCUUUGGACCGUCAAUAUCUUCUUAAGGACCUAGAAGUCCUCCCAAAGGGCAUUUAGACCCUCCUAGAUGCCUAACACCCUUCAAAAGGGCUCUAAGGCCCAACACGCGCCCUUCCUAGGGAGCCGCCUCUACCAGCUUCUAAAACCUCCAAAGCUCGGCCUAAAUACCUAAUACGAUUACAAACCCUAAUACCUCAUUACGUAUAGCUUAAGAACCAUAAAUCAGGCCAAUAGAGGGCUAUAAAUACAACCUUUGAGAGCCUUCUGAAGGCAUGACCAAUACAUUACAAACCCUAAUACGAUUAUUGUACUUUUGCAAGUACAAUGAGGAAGGCGAUAUUGACAGGGAAAGUUUCCACCUAAUUUGGGCUAAAAACAUGGACUUUUGGGGGUAAAAAAGUCACAAAAAGUGACUUUUUUCGCAAGGAGCAGGGCGCCUAGCGCAUAAUGGCAUGCACCUAGCUCAUGUUCCUGCUAGGCUGAGGCGCCUAGUGCCCCUUUCAUGCGCCAGACGCUUCAGUUGUUUAGCUUAGGGGCACCUAUUGUGCACCUGGGUGCAUAAGUGCCUUUUCAGUGCCUUUUCAGUGCUGUUUUUCUUGUUUUCUUUGCCUUUUGAGGUGUUUUCUUCAAUGUAAGAUGUCUUGGAACUUGAGAACAAAAUUCCUUCCUUUGUAAAGACUUCUGAGGCAUCUUGAAUCUUCAUUAUUCAUCUUCCCAAGGUCCACAUAAAUCUUCAAAUGUCUUGCAUUGUCUGAUUUGCUUGAUUUCUUCGUGAAUUACUUCAACAACACCCUAAAAUUGCUAUUUUUCAGGAAGAAUAGAAUUACAAACUCAAUAUAAAAUACAUUACAAAUGUACCGAAAUCAUAGGCAAUUGAUCAAAUACUCUUCUUCUUUGCUGGUAAAACCUACUGAAAUUGACUGAAAAAUGUAACAGCCCUAUUUUCGUUAGAUUUAUUUUAAUUGUUUUAAUAUGUGUUUAUUUAUGCUUAUGUGUGAUUAUUAUCAUUGGGUGCAUUUUUAUGGGUUUUCGUGUUGGAAGGAUAAUUUAGUAAUUUCAUGUAAGGAUUAUUUUUAGUGUUUCAAGUGAGAACCAUUAUUUACUAAGUUACUAGUGUGGUAAUUAGUUGUGAGCCGGUAAGUGAUCGUUGUUAUUAUUUUACCGUUAAGGGAGUAGAAACAUUUUAGAAUUAGUGAAUUAGUGGGUUAAGCCCACUAAGGCAUUAGGGUUAAACCCAAUUGAGAAGAGCCUAUAUAAGUUCUAGAUUUUAGAGAAAAAUAGGUUUCCACUUCAUUUCAUAAGAAUUUUGAGAGAGGUAGAGAUAGAAAGUUCAAGAGAAGAGGAAAAUGGUUAGAAGGGAGAAAAGCUUGAAGACUCAAGAGGUGAUAGAGAUUCUAGGACCUAAAUUGAAGCUUUUGCUAGGAUUUUUGCUAAUUGAGGUAAGGGGGUUAGAUUUCAAUCAUAAUAACUUAGUUGUAGCUUUUACCCUAAUUUCAUGUAUAAAUGCUUAUUUGUAUAAAGUGAUUAUUAUGAAAUUAAUUGAUGAAAUUCGUGGUUAUGCUUUGAUGUGAUGUUUGGGUAUGUGAAAUUGAUGUUAAUUAAGUUGUUGAUGAAGAAUUUACAUGCUCAAGUUAUGUAUAUAUGUAUACUUGUGUUUUUGCUCAAAAUUGAUGAAGUAUAAUGUUAUUGUUGGUGAAUUGUUGAUGAAUUCACUUCUGAUUGUUGUUGUUGUGAUUGUGAGUAGUUGUUGUUGAUGAUUGAAACCUUGGGUAAUCUUAACCAUAGAGCUUGAAGUGAGUUUCUAUUGUUCUUGAAGUUUUCAUGAAAAAUAGGUCAAAUGGUAAUUUUGUUGAAAUUAUGUUGGAUUCAAGUUUUUAUAUGGAUUUGAGUGUCUUUUCAUGUUUAGACAAACUUUGGGAUCAAAUUUGGGUAUUGGGUCAAAAUUGGGAUUUUGGGGUGAAAAAUGAGUUUUUUUUUGUAGUAGAACUCCAGAAGCCUGUCACAACUCGCCAUGGCGAGCGGGAGGCGAGCAGGAGGUGCUUCCUGUGUGUUAACUCCCCAUGGCGAGUGAUUCACUCACAGGGCGAGCUGCACAGUGACAUCAUUCCCUGUUUCGCAAUCUUGCGUCUUUUUCACAUAUUUUUGUUUUGAAUUGGUCUUUGGUAUAAAUAUGAAAGUUUUAGAUAAUUGUGUUAGCUUUCCAGUGGCGUUGGUUUGACUUGAAAAUGAUUUUUGGUUUUUGAGUUAUGAUGAAAAUACUCCAAGGAGGUCUUAGUGAAAUUUUAUGAAAAUUCCGCAUAACUAUUUCUAAGUCAACCCAAAACUUAUGGAUUGUUUCCAAACUUCAAAACUUGUGUACUAUGAGUUAAAUUAAUGUGUUUAAGAGUAUUUAAGCUACGUUGUGGUGAAUUUAACUUGGUUUUGUUUUGAAAGUGAAUUGGUUUUACAUUAUGAGUAAAGCGAUACGAACUUUGCAAAACUUUGAAUUUAAGUGAGUUGGCCUAUGGGACCUUGAUGUAUACACUAUUGCACUCAUAUGUGAUUGGUGUAUAUACUUAGUUGAGGUUUCCAAAUGUGUUUACCUUGUUUUGUCGGAUAACUUGAAAAUUGGUAAAAUGAUACGAACUUGUCGUAACCUGUGAUUUUGAUGAUUUUGUCGUAGUAGGCCGGUGAAACGCACAUGUAUAUUCAACUACACUCAUAUGUGAUCUAAGUGUAUACAUAGUCGAGGCCCUAGAGUUUAUUUACUUGGUGUUAGUUCAUUUGUCUCAAUUAUUUUAAAGUUGUAAAAUGAGAGUUGAACUUUGUCAAAAAUGGUUCUUUAAAGCCAAUUACCUUAUAAAUCUUUUGUAGAUAACUUUAUAUGACUAAAUGAAGAUAUGUGAAUGAAUUUUUAAUUGUUGAAUAUGAUAUUAUCAUAAGGUGUUGCAUUUUCUCUUUACUUGGAAUAUGAUAAGUAUUUGGAAUGGUGGAACUAUACUAUAUGGUUGAUGUUGAUUAAUAUUUAUAUAUCAAUUGAUGUUGAUGAUUACUGAUAAUUAUGAUGAAAAUGUGAUGAUGACUCUUAAUUGGAUUAUGACUUUAUUGUUGUGUGGACGUAAAUAUUUGAUAAUGCAAUUGUUGUUGAUGUUAUCCUUUAUAUUGUUGUUGAAUAUUUAUGAGGUGAUUUUGCAUUGUCAAGUCUUUCCUUGUAUGUCCAUGCAUCAUAGUCAUGUUGAGUCUUGAUGUUGUAAAGGAGGGUUACUCUUUUACUUUGGUGAUAAUGUAAGACGGGUGUGAAAUUUUACAUAUGAUGUUUUUGUUGCAUCAUGUGUGACGACCUUGAGGUGAUUUGGUACCACAUGCAUAUAUGUGUCGGGAUUAGGCACAUAUCAUAUUGGCGUGAGUCUUAAUUGAUGUAUUUGAAUGAUGAUUGAUGAUGAUAAGUGUGUUUGAUGAAUACAUACUUGUGAUAUUUAGAAUUGUUGCAUGAAUGUGUAUAUGGAAGUUAAUUGCUCAUGAUUAAUUAAUUGAUACUUGAUUUGAUUCAUUUAUGUCUAACUAUUUAUGUGGAUUAUGAUUGUUGUAAAGCUUACCCCUAGUGGUUUUGACCACCUACCUGUCUAUAUGGAUGGGUAGACGAAGUGCAAGAUUAGUCGCUUUGGUGAGUUGCUUGGUGAUUGCUUAGAUAGAGGGAGUUAUCUCCGUUAUCGUUUCCUUAGAGUCUUAGGAUAGGCUCUGAUCUAGGAUGUAUGUCUUAUGAUUAUUCUAGAUUGUUUAUUUUGGAUUUAUUUGUGUUGUGGAGAUUUACCCAAUUGUCGGAAUUUGAAGAAUUUUUAUGUUGAUGUAUUUUGACCUCAUGGCAUGUAUACUUUUGAAGUGUAUGGUUUAUAUCCGCUGCAACGGUAUAGAAUUUUUAUAUAUGCUUGUUAUUUGAACAUUGUUGAUGAUGUGGCGUCUAUUUCUUGGAUAUUUAUAUUAUUCGCGUGUUUUAUUGCUUUAAUAGAAAUAGGGCGCUACAAAAAACAUGCUAAAAAUAACGUAAGAUGUCCUGUCAUCAUACAACGAUUGAGAAAAAGAUAAAGAUUGUCUAAUACCCAAGACUUCUUACAUAACUAUUUCAUCAAAGCAGAAUAGUUCAAAAACUGGAAGGUGUGGGUUUUCAUGACCUAGGAAUACAGGUAGCUCAAGUGAUGACAACAUAAUUUAUGGGAAAUAUGAGAAUCAUCAAGUCUGUGGUAAUGUCAAAUGGAUUCUCAAUCAGAAAAGAAUGCAGAACCUUUAUCCCAGACUUUCCCUCGAUCAUCCAAGAACCAAAUACCAAAGAUCUAGCAGACCUAGUGUCACAAGCUUCUGAAGAUCUAAUCUGACAUGGACCAUGCUCCUAGGGCAUGGACCAUGCACCUAGGGUAGGGUGCGUUUCACAGUCACAUGCGCCUAGGGCAUGGAGUGUGCUCCCUGAGAACUAAAAAAGUGUGGGGCAAAAUUGAUUUUUUUUCGACUUUUGUGUUGUUAUUUUAUGUUGUGAUUUUCUCAGAUUGGAGUGGAGGUAGGAUGUGAGAGUUCAACAGAUCACCAUUUGUAUGACUGAACAGACUAUUCAGAAAAUCUGAAUCAGUGUUUUGAUAAAUGGUUUAGCUAGAGGGUAAUGAUAUAGGUGGCGAAGGAAUAAUGAUGGAUGGUACUGAAGAAAUGUUAACAUAUUAUGUAAGCUCAAGAUCAAUACCUUUUGUAUUAUGAGAUUCUUCUGCUUUGCCUGGUGAGGUUGGCUCAACGGUAGCUGUUGUGAGGUUGGCUCAACGGUAGCUGCUUCUGUGACUAGCAUGCUGACUUCUUCUGCUUGCUUCUGUUGCUUCUCUUGGUUCUCACACUCAUCUACAUCGAUGAAUAUUAGAUGACACAAAUCUUCCUUAGCAUGUACAUUCUUCUUCCUUUCUGGUGAGGGAAUGAGUGAGUGAAUAGUACCAGAGUUCCUUGUGAGCUUGGAAAAAUCCGUUUUGUAGACAGAUCACAAAGUCACAUACUCUUAAUUUGUCUCUGAGUCGGUUUUGGAUUGCCUCGUCUUUUUGGGUGCUUGAGAAACUUUCUCAUCACCUUUCCUCUUAACCUCGACUUUCUUUAACUUCUUUGUUGGAGGAGAUGUUGUGACUUUGGAUGAUUUCCUCUUAUUCUUCUUGUUGUCUGCAGUUUCUGAGUCACCAGGAGUUUAAUCCGGAAAGAACUAAUCCGCAACUAAUUACUAAUAUUUUUCAUUGAAAAAAAAUAAUUUUAAAUAAGACUGGUACCUUGGUCUGUUGUAAAUUUGUAAGAACUAAUUUGACAGACAAUGAUAUAACUCAAAGACUAAUUUAUUUGUAAGUGCAAUAAUUUUGUUACUAAUUUUUGACCGUAAAUAACACACAAGUUAGCAGAAGGACCAAGUUGUUCAAUAUAAUUCAAAAUGUGAUUGUUUUUGCCAUGGCAUCCCCCAGUUUUUCUAUAAUUACACAAGAUUCCCUUUGUCUCGAUGGUUAGGAAGUACAAUUUUCUUUUGGAUGUCUCGUGUCUGAGUCCUAAUUCCCCUCAUUUUUAUAUUUCUAUUAUAUUAUAUUUUAAAUUUUAUUAAAAAAAUGUUCUUGAGGGGGAAUCGAACACGCACCACUACACUGAAUUCUAGCAAAAAACUGACCCCUAGACCGGUUACUGAUCUGAAGAAUAUUAUGAAACAACUAAACAUAUAUUCCAUAAAUUUUGGCACCCCCAAGAUAAAAACUCAAGAUCCGCCAUUGCCUAACUCAAGGUCCUAAAUACGCCACUACCAUUAACUAUAAUUAAUAAGAGUGUUUUAGAAAAUGAAACAUAUUUUGAACAUAUUUCUUAUCAUUUCUUUAACAAUUAUGUAAAACUCAAAAGGAACCCUUAAUUUGAGACAGAGGAUAUAUAAUAAUCGAUGAAGUUUAAUAUCUGCAAAAAAGUGUUAUUAAGUGAAGUAAACUUAACAAGGGUGACACUUGUUUUCUUUUGGUAAGGUGUGGGAGCACUCUUGACUGAGUUUCUAUUUUUUUUUUUUAUAUUCUUUUGAAAGUUGUAGUGGUGUAAUUGGGUGGUUAGUUGAAGUAAUUUUCGUUUUGGUUCUUGCUUGAUCUAUUUUGCAUUGUGAAAUUUCAAUUCUUAGUUUGCUUUCUACAUUGACGGAGUUGCUAAGUUGCAAUCAAACUUUUGAGUGUGUAUUAAUUAUAACAGUAAGAGUGUUGCUAGCACUACUCUUAUAUAAAAUCAGAUGUAUUUUUAAAUUUAUUUAUUUAUUUUUUUUUUUUUAAUUUCUACGAAAGUGGUGCACUUUUCCAUGAAUAUGCUUUUAGUGCAACUCCUUACCAAUGUAGUCAAACAAUUUCUUAAAACUCAUUGUUAUUAGUCAUUUCGAAACAAUGUAUUCACCAAGACAAAGGAGUGGGUGGAAGGAUAAUGGGUGCAUGCACAAUCAAGAAAAAGUUAGGUGAACAUUACAAUCAAAAUAUAUAGCAUAGAGCAUCAAAAUUUAUCGUAUGAAACAAUGUUUUUCUAAAAUAUGAAUGUGAACAAAUAACCCUUCAACUCAUAAGAUGAUCUUUAAUAUAUAGAAUUAGAAAGUUAGAGUAUCAGUACACCGAAAUUUAUAUAUUCAAAAGUGAGGCGUAGUUGGUUUUCCUCUUUAUGUAGUAUAGUUCGGUUUUUCCAUUUUAUUAUGGUACUUAUUCCUAUCAAAUUGAUAAAUCAGCUUUAUCUUAUAAUUGAUUUAACUAAUGAUGACUUGAACAUCAAUAUUAUAUAUUCGGAUAUACGAGUACUUCAUCGUGCUCUUAAUUUAGAGAUGUUUUGAGUUUGUUUACAAAUUGAAUCUUUGAAUUUUAGACAUAGAACUUGUACUCUUUUAGAUAUAAUAUACCGAUUUGAAUGGAUAAAUACCGUAAUUCCAAACAUAUAUUUUUUUUUCACACACAUACCUCAUCCAUUACGAAACGCAGGAACUAAAGCUAUAUAAUAUAGUGAAGCUAAUUUAAUAAAAAAUAUAUAUAUUUGGUGAUGCUAAACUCAGUCUAACUUAAUGCCAGUUCAAAAGGAACACUGUGGUAUGGAGGAAUUCUUUGUUUUGCAUUUAUAAAUGGCAACUAUACCCUAUUAAUCAUCAUCAUAAAAAUAAUUUUUAUAAUGUAUGAGACCAAGUUUCACGUCUCUAUUAUUUUUCAUCAUUUUUUAGAAUUGUACGAUCUUGUACCAGAUCUUCGUUUAGUUAUGAUGAUAGCAACCACUCUCACUGAAAAAUUAUAUAAUAACAUUUUUUUGGCAUAUUUAAUUACUGAUCCUGUCGGUGUAUUAUUGUAAAAUUAGGCAAUUUGUCCAAUCAAUUCACACAUAAUUUCAAACCUGGCAACUAUAUAAAAACAAAAUCAUAGGUAAAUAAUGUAGAAAAUCACCAACAACCCUUGAAUUUUGUUACAAGAAAGGGCCAAGUCAUCACCUUAUCAAGAUUGUGAGUGGAUUCACAAAGAUCACGACUAGUAUAAAAGGAGGAAGUCACUCUUGUGUUUUCUGCACCAAACUCAUAAGUCACUAACAUGGCUUCCUCAAACUUCCUAGUGCUGCUUCUUUUUGCUCUAUUUGCCAUUCCUCAGGGUCUUGCCAAUUAUGAGAAGCCUCCGGUUUACCAACCACCGGUGUAUAAGCCACCAGUUGAGAAACCCCCGGUCUACAAACCCCCUGUAGAAAAGCCACCAGUAUAUAAGCCACCAGUAGAGAAGCCUCCAGUUUACAAACCACCGGUGUACAAGCCACCUGUGUACAAACCCCCAGUAGUGAAACCCCCAGUCUACAAACCUCCUGUUUACAAGCCACCGGUGUACAAGCCACCAGUUUACAAACCACCAGUAGAGAAGCCCCCAGUUUACAAGCCACCUGUAUACAAACCCCCAGUAGUGAAACCCCCAGUCUACAAACCUCCUGUUUACAAGCCACCAGUUGAGAAGCCUCCAGUUUACAAGCCACCAGUAGUGAAGCCACCUGUUUACAAGCCCCCAGUCUACAAGCCACCAGUAGUGAAGCCACCUGUAUACAAGCCUCCAGUCUACAAGCCACCCGUUUACAAGCCUCCAGUUGAGAAGCCUCCGGUCUACAAGCCACCUGUUUACAAGCCCCCAGUUGAGAAACCUCCAGUCUACAAGCCACCGGUUUACAAGCCUCCAGUCGAGAAGCCACCAGUUUACGGACCUCCUCACCACCCAUAGGACUCUCGGAUGCUUUUAAGUAAAUAAGUUAAAUAAGAGAUAUAUAAUGUUUCCAAAGCAAGGAUUAUAUAUUCUUGGAAUCUUCAUUUUAGUCUUUUGUUUACAAAUCCUAUUACCAAGAUAAGAAUGUGAAAGAAAAUGGUGCAUUUGUACUCCAAGUUAUGAAUAAGAACGUUGUGAUUUAGCACUUUUUAAUUUGUGUUGGUUGACUAAAUUGGACAUAGUAUAUAUAUACUCUACUUAAUACUCUGUCAUAUCAGUAAGGUGCAUGAAAGUUCAAUUUUCUGUAGUAGACAUAACGAAUAAUUAAUUUAUGUUUGAAUCUAGAAUUUACUAAACUUCACGUACUUGGAAUUUCAUUGCAUUAUAGCUUGACUCAGUAGUAGCUUUAGUGAAAAAUGAUUUUGGUGCUUAAAAUUUUAAGAGUUGGAGUUUGGACAAAUUAUACACUCAUAUAAUUUAGUUAUCUUUUCAAAUUUACAAUUACAAUUUUCAAGGUUCUAUAUUUGUGUUGAUGCACCAAUUAAGAGAAUGAUCAAGAAAAUUAGGUUUUUAAUUGGUUUUUAUCGAUGAUUUCUGAAGAUAUAUUUCGGCAGAUGAACUAAUCCUUCAAUUUAAGAGAUUAAAUUGCCAUUUUACAAAUUUCAAUGAUUAUAUUAUUACCUAAUCUUAAAUAUAAUUUUUAGGGCUAAAACGAUGAUUCACUCAAUAUAUAUUGUGAUUUCUUAUUUUUUUUAUGAUAUAAAGAUAGCUGAAGUUGUGUGAUAUACAAAGUUAUAUUUCCUUUGGAAGAUAAGAGUCCCCCACCAUAUUGACAUGAAAGUGAACGUGGGAAAAUAUGUGCAAUUAAGGUUCCAAAUAUUAAACAAUAGCCACAAUAAUUGUCUAUAACUCAUAACAAAUAUAAGAACUUGAUAAGAAAAAUAAUAAAUAUAAGAACAUGAGCAGGCCAUAGUUUUUUAGCCCGAGAAGCUUCAUCUUCUUUUUAAGUCUAACAUUUUUUAAUCUUCAUUCAAAGAAGAUUGGUGAUUUUGGGAUAUUUUUAUAAGAUAGGUAAAUAAUGAAAUUUGUGUUGUACUCGAAGAAAUCUACCACACGAUUUGAAUGAAUAUAUUACUUUUAGUCAAAAUAAAUUAAAAUAAAGAAUGUAACAUUUCAAACUCACUCACAUAUAAAGAAUGAAUUUACAAUCUUUAAAACACAAAUAUUUAAUCCUUAAAUCUAACACCUCUCUUAGUUUUAGCGAAAUGAACUUUGUGUUGUACUCGAAGAAAUCUACCACACAAUUUGAAUGAAUAUAUUACUUUUAGUCAAAAUAAAUUAAAAUAAAGAAUGUAAAAUUUCAAACUCACAUAAAAAGAAUGAAUUUACAAUCUUUAAAACACAAAUAUUUAAUCCUUAAAACUAACACCUCUCUUACAUUUAUUUUGUUUACGUACCUUUAUUUUGUUUUCAAAUACUUAUAUUUAGUUGAAUUCCUUCAUUAUACUCUUUUUAAUGAAUUUUCUGAACAAAAUAAAAUUGUGUUACUCAGUCACUCAAAUUAGAGUGGAUAGAGCAAUGAAAAUAUUUAUUACUAUGUAGUUUAUAGUUGGAGUGAUCGGAUAGUCUAGUGGGAUCUUAGCCACUCUCGUUUGACUCACUUGGAGCAUGUCAAAAAUAUUUUUUUGAAAAUGAACGAUGGAGAUUUACUUUGCACUAGGUCCAGUGAAAAAGAUAUGGGAGAUAAUCCCAAUCUUAGCUUAUUGGGUAGGCCAGUGUUGAGAAUGGAUUCUCUCAAAUGUAAUUAUCUCACUAGUCUAAUUACCAACACAAUCAAAGAGAAAAAAUAGUGGGAUGUAAGUAAAAAAUCCAUAUUCUACUUACUCAAUCAUCUAUACAAGCUACUUUAAUUAUCUAGUCGAACGUUACGAGCGUUACAAGAGAAAUCAGAAUAUCGAUGAUCAAAAUCCUUCAAAGCAAAAGAUGUUGUUGUGUGCAAGUGUGAGUUAUAUGCCCCACAUCGGAUAAAAGAGUAAAGGUUGAACACCUUAUAAGUAAGAGGACCAUAAACCCAAAGCCUUAAGGUUUUGGGUAAGAGUGUGGUGUCUCCCUUGCUUGUCUGGUUGUUCUAGCCUCGAUGUGGACGCUCCCCCAAGCUCCCCUCGCUGACCCAACAGUGGUAUCAGAACCCCGGUUCGAUGAAGGGUACGACUGAGGCCGCCUGUCAGUUGUGCAGAAAGCAGCAACGACGGUACAAGCAACAAGUGGCUUCUUGUGCAGCAACGGCUAUACAUGCAAAGUAAAAAGCUUCCACGCGGUACAAGCAACAAGUGGCUUCUUGUGCAGCAAUGGCUAUACAUGCAAAGUAAAAAGCUUCCACUCUAGGGGAGCGACUCACGCUUGAGGGGGAGUGCUGUUGUGUGCAAGUGUCUGUUAUAUGUCUCAAAUCGGAUAAAAGAGUAAAGGUUGAACAUCUUAUAAGUUAGAGGACCCAUAAACCCAUAGCCUUAAUACUGUCCUUUUUGCAUAUUUAGCCCCCCCGAAACCAAUUUUAACCAAUUCAACGAUGACGUGGAUGUCACGUGUGUAAUGCUUUAAUUAUUUUAGUUUUAGAUAGAUACAGAGAGAGAGGUGUCAUAUGUCAAAAAAAAAAAAAGAUAGAAAAGAUUUCCUUCCUUGAAUCGUUGAGGUAACUACAAACUAAGACAAUGAUGUUAUUGGUUACUUGUUUCUAAUACCUUUGAAAAAGAUAGUUAGACCAAUGUAUUGGUCAUUAACUCUUUUCAAUGGUUACUACCCUAGUGUCUAAGGUGAGUCAUAACAACGUCAAAGUAAGUACAAUUAUUAUUAAUUUAUGUCUACACCUAAUCAAUAAUUGAAGGUUAAGAUAGGUCAAGCCAACAAAGUUAAGGUUAAGAUAAUCAUUUUCACCUAAAUUGAUUUAUGAACAUAUGUUAAUGAUGACAGUCCGUCAUAUCACAUUUUUAGAGUCUUUUCAAUUAAGUUUUUAUUCUAAUUUUAUUAAUUUAGUACUUAAUUUAGAGUCAUUUUAAAUAAAUUGUCAUUUUCUUAUUAUUGAGUCAACUAGUGUAUUAUUACUAUUAUUAUUGGUCAAUUAGUGGCUAGUAAAGAGAAUGAAACAAAAACAUGGUUUUGUGAUGGAUGUGAUUGGCCAAGAAAAAUGAUAACAAGUUGAACGAAAGAAAAGAAGACCACACAAUGUUGCAUUAGGGUGCAGGAAUCAAAACCAAUAUAAUUGGGCUUUCUUUCAUGGACGUUGAACCAAGAAAAAGAAAAGAAAAGAUAACUUGCUGCAUAAUGUUAAUUUGGAAAGAAAAAUAGGUUUGACAAGCUAUAAAAGGAGACCACGCACAGGAACAAAGCAGACGAUUGGGAAAGAAAGAGCAGCACGCGGUACGAGACAAAAGGAGGAGGAGAAAAGCUCAUGGAAUUUGGAAUAUGCAACAGUACUGAUUAAAUAGAACAAAGCCGGUAGACCAUAAUUCGAUCGGUUUAUUUCUUUUAGUAUGUUGUUUAUUCCUUUAAUAUGUCUAGUUAAUUCCAUUUGAUUGAGUCACGAUGAACCUAUUGUAAUAUAUGAAUCAGUAGUUAAAACUCUUUUUAUUAUCAAUAUUAUUCAGUCUUUAUUCAGAAUUAUCUGUGUUCAUUGCCUUUCAUAUGAUUGUUUGCAUUGUUUGCAUUGUUUGCAUGACUAUUAACCCUAACUUCUUACAAUCACAUAAAUUGAUCUUAGGAAUUGAAUGACUACUAACCCUAACUUUUAAUCCUGAAAUAAUAAUUCUGUUUAAUUCAACAUAGGAACCUAGAGAUAGGAAAUUGAGGAUUAUGACAUAUAACGUUCUAACAUCGCUUCCGCGGUUAUUCAACCAGUUUAAAAGAUUAAAAGGUUAUAACUUAGGAAAUGGUUUUGAGUCAAGAGAUUGAUCAAAACUAAUUAGUUAAUUUGUCGUAAAGAUUGAAUAAGUGUUGAGAGCAAAGAGAGAUAAACUAUUUCACAUAAAACAAUAGAGGAUUUACCGGCUGAUCAUCUGUUUUAAUCCAAUUAUCAAACCAUUUUAUUUUAUGUUAUUUACUUUUUAUUGCACACAAACGUACUGCCUCAUACACUUAUAAAAUUUACACAUCCUAGAUAUUAACUUUAUUGCUAGUUUGAGAUUAACACAGUCCUCGUGGAUACGAACUUAUUUUAUUACUUCGAUAGUUUUAGUACACUUGCUAAAAUAUUUAUGAGUUAACCAAUAAAGAGUAUCAAGAACAACUUUAACCGAAUAAAAUAGAAAAGUAAUUAAAUGAAAUUUAUAGAAUUAUUCAAAGUUACAUAAUCAAACAAUUACGAGGAAGUUCUUAUUUCAUGACCUAACAUAUAUAGUAUUAGCUACUCAUAGAUUUUCUAAACAUAUAUAAAUAGAUAUGAAGAAGAAAGCAUGAGAAAAGGAUCAGCAAGUGAGGAUUAAUUGGCUCCCUAAUGGCCGUGGUCACUCCAAUCCUUCCAAAAUUGUGUUUCUGCCUUCGUCUUCUCGCUAAAAAGUAUUUUCCACUAACUUAGGUUUCAAUAUUUAUAGGUGUGCAUUUCCUUAAGUUUUUGGGAAAUUGGCACACGAUGCGAUCCUAUUCCUCAUGAUGCGAGGAUAACAUAACUAAUCUUGUUGGCCUCACGUUUAUUGUCCCGAUGCAAAGCUCAUGAAGAUUGAUACGAUUCAAGGAAAUGUGAUUUGAUUUAACCAAGCAAAAACCAAGAUCAUAGGAUAACAAUGAUACGAUUCAAAGAAGUGUUAACUUGAUUCACAGUAAUACAAUUCAAAGAAUCAUGAAUCGUUUAAAAAUUUAUGGAAAAUUAGCAGAAACUUUUCAUGAUAAGAUUCAAAAAAGUUUGAAUUGAAUCAAUUGGUUAGAAAAACAUUUUGACCAAGAAAAAUGAAGUUUUCUUUAUACAAACAAAACACAAGACAACAAGGGAUCAUAUGAUUUAUGAGGCAAGAUUUCUAGGUAUGCUUUAACAUGAUAUUAGUCAAUAACAACUAAUAUCUAAACAUCAUCAAAUAAAAACUACCUAAUGAACAUCAUAAAAACACAAACCUAUAACUACACAACUUCAUCCAACUUAUUGGGUGUACCGCAUUAACUAGAUAAUGGUCAUAUCUAUACUAUAUAUAAAGAAAAUAACAUGUUUUUCAAGGUGAGAAAAACACGAGAGGGGGGGGGGGGGGGGGUUGAAUUGUGGUUUCUUUCUCUUCUCCUAAAACCGAAUUCACUAUUCAGAACUUGAUAGAGUUCAGCUUCUGAAGUAGUGUUCAGAGUCUAGUUGCAGCGGAUAAGAAAAGAGAGAGAGAGAGAGAGGCAAGACACAAAGCAACUAUACAGAUUCCUUCCACAAACCGGAACUAGUCAUGUCCCCCUUGCACCUCCAAGAAGAGUUCACUAAAAUCAAUAUUCGAUUACAAUUGCUCAGGGCUCAAAAUAGCAAGAGACUUCAAACUACUCAAGAACAACUACAAGAGAUUUCCUAUGCUCAAGAACAAAAUCAAGAGACUUCCUAUGCUCAAGCACAACUGCAAGAGACUUCAUACAAAUCAGAUAAGACUCUUAAGAUUCUAGAAUUUCUAAAAUAUGAAAGUUGAUAAGAAAUUCUAAGUGAACUUUGAUGUGAAACAUUUUUAGCAGAGUUUUGGCACUUGUAAAAUUGUUGUAAGUCUCUUAGAAAUCUUCAAGUCUUCACUCCUUUAUAUAGAGGUGUGAAAGAGACGUUGUUGAUUUCCAACACAUUAAAAGAGUCGUUAUUGAAGCUUGAUCAAAUUUCAAUUCCAUUCCAAGUAUAGAGGAAUACCAGCGUAGUCACAAUUGUUGUUCUUGUACUAUUGCAGACAGAAAACAGAGUAGUGGAGAAGGUGGUUGUACAAUUGUACUAUUGUCCUUUUCCAAUGUUCUUCAAGGGAUAAGCAUCCAAUGACUUCAAAUUCCUCUUAAUUAGUUGUUGCUCUAGACUUCUAUUCCUUCUGCAAUGAUAGGCAUGAUAAUAACAACUCUUGACAAAUAUUGAAGCUUCCAGUCUUUCAGCUUAUGAUCUUAAACUUCUAACGACGUCAGCUUCUGGUAGUCUCCAGCUUAUGAUAAAAGUGCUUCUGAUGAUGUCAUCUUCAGAACCUCUUUGUCUUCAAAACCUCUUUUCCUUCAGAUGGUUCCUUGCAACUCAAGCUUCCUUUUUUUAAAUUCCAUUGCUCUCAUUUGUUCUUCUAGAACCCAUGCUUCAUUUAAAGACACUCAAAUUUUUGUAUAUGGUCCUGCACACUUGAACAAAUAUUAUCAUAUCCAAUUGAAUUUUUUUAAUACCUUGUUAUCAUCAAAACUUAAAGGGUAAUGUUAAACACAUUUUGUUCCAACAUUUUUGACUCUUUUAGAAUGACUUUUUCUCUUUCCAAAAUUACCAUCAACUUUCAAUACAAAUAACACAUACAACAAGAAUUGUGUUAUUUGAACAUCCAUAUAUGCGACAACUUUUGUGACAACCAAAAUUUUACAAAGAAAAUGAAGUAGUGGCACAAAAACCAAAGCAAUAGAGAGAGAAAGUAAAAAGAUAAUGUGAGUAUGAGAGAGAAAGUUGUCACAAAAGUUGUAAAAAAUAGUUGUUCAAAUAUCAUUUCUCCAUACAACAAAUAGAUGAGAGUAAAUUCAAACAUUAAAAUAAAAUUGUAAUACACACGAUAUGAGUAUAUAUGUCCAGUUUUUUCCUUUAUCAUUUAAAAAAUGUAACAAACAAGAUGAGAAUAUCAGAGAGAUGAGAGAUAGUGACGUGAGACAAGAAAGACCUCUCCGUGGCCCGCCUUUGCUUGAACGGUGGUAACCGCACCAGAAUUUAUCUCCAUUUGAGAGAUACACUAGGGGGUAGGUAUGCAGCCUGGGUGGUAGAAAAUGGGGGGGGGGGGGGGGGGGGUAUGGGUGAUUGGUCUGUAGUUAGGUCACGAAAGAGGAAAGCGACGCAAUCGGAAGAUCGAGGAAGGGACAAGUCAAGGGUUUCAGAGCGACGCGGAGGCACGGUAAGGGUUAGAGGGAUCGCACAUAAUGAUUACGGGUUUGAUGGCAGAGAGGCGCGACAAUCAGCAAGGGCUCUUCAUGAUCAGCAAGGUUUGGGUCGUUAUCAGUUUGGAAACAACGAUUUGGCUUUCGACAGAUGCGGGUCUGAUGCUAUCAUGGGAAAAGGCUUCUUCGACGACAAACAUAACAAUGGUAGUAAAAUUACUUUCUAUUUUGCAAACAUUCCUGAUUAUAUGCCGUUGUUUCGUCUCCGUCAAUACUUUGAAGUGUGUGGUAUUUUGUCUGAUGUCUAUGUUGCCAGACAACUAAAUUCACGUGGUCAGGUCUAUGGCUUCGUUAGAUUUUUGAAUGUGAGGAACAAGGACAAAUUAGCACAAGAUUUGAAUAAUGUAUGGAUUGGUGACUUUAAGGUCUGGGCGCGUGAAGCAAAAUUUGAUAGGUUUGCACAAUAUGAUGAUGAUCAUAGGGUGUCUAUGCAUGGUGAUAGAAGGGAUGAGAAUGGAGGGGAGAGGAGGCCGGUGGUGAGAACUAAUGGUGAUGGAGUAAAAAAUAUGAGGAUGUGUAAUUUUAAAAAAAUAGGAGGGAUAAUAAAAAUAGUUGUUGGUCUCAUUUUAAAAAAAAAUAAAAAAAUUGUUUAUAUAUUUUUGUUAUAUUAUCGGUGUCAAUGAAAUGGAUAAUCAUGGUUAAUUUGAUUUGUUAUAAUUUGAAAGCAACACACAUUUAUAUCUUUAAUUUUAAUCAAAAUCAAAAUGUUAUAAAAAAUACUAUUGCUAAUUUUCAAAUGUUAACACAAUAAAAAGAGCAGAAAGACGGAGUGCCCGUCUUUUCACUAGUUAUAAUAAAAGAAAUUUUAUUUGAUGUAUUGAUAAUGAUACUGAAACUUUUUACACAUACAUCCAAACAUUAUUCAUGACAUCACUUUUAUACAAGUUCUAAAAUAUCGCUGUAACAAAAAGGUUAAAAAACAACUCAUGAAAUAUGUACAUGAUUUAAUUGAAUAUAUGUGUAAAAGAAAUUAUAUAUCAACAUCUAUAAAUUAAAUUUAUUAUUGAAAUGAAAUACUAGUAAAAAUGAUGGCCAGCAUUUAUGAAAAUAAAGGUCUAACUGAUCAUGGGCCAAUUUAAAUCAAAAGUAGAUUUGUGCCCUCUAAAGGGUACUAGAAUAUAAAAGAUGGACGGCAAACAAGGGACACAAAGAAUAGAGAUGCUCAAUUUAAAACACAACUUCGAUUUUUUUUUUAUUUACUAAAAAAUAACUUAGAUUGUUUAGAGAAGAUAGGAAUUCAAUUAGUCUGACAACAUAUUUUGGAAGUACAAUUAGUUUCACAAUUAACUAUUUUGAUAAUCCUCCUUAUUAAAAAAAAAUUAAUAUUCCAUUUCGUCAAAUAAAACAAAAAGUUAGGGAGUGAUGAGAGAUCUUAGUCAAUAUUGUUUUGCACCAUAAUAUUUUUGAGAGAUUGAUUUGGCAUUUACAUGCUUCCAACAAAUACAAUGUAACAAGUGCUUAUAAUUAUAUGAUAUCGUCUCUUAAUAUUGUGACAGCUGAUCACUUAAACACAAUUUGGAACAACGAGGUCCCUCUGAAAGUUAGUCAUUUUACAUGGAGUUUGCUCUGUAGCCGAUUACCAACAACAAAUAAUUUUAUCAGAAGGCACAUUCUUAAUCAUAAUGUUCAACUUUGUGUAGGCUUUUGUGGUAUAAUGUAAGAUAUAGACGAUCUAUUUCUCUCUUGUGAUUUUUUUGAAAUUUUUUAGAUUGGUAUCUAUAAUUGGCUCGGCUUUACUAUGGUACAUCCAGAACAUCCGAAUAACUUUUCAACUCAUAUGGUUAACUUGUGUUUGGGUGAUUUGAUGGGAAAGAAAUGCUUGAAGUUUUCGCAAUCAAGAAGAAUCGUUACAACAUCUUCUUGACAAAAUUAAGCUUCAAUCCUAUUAGUGGUUGAAAGCGAAUAGAAUUUUCGCUCAAUUUUAAUAAAGUGGAUACUAUAUGAGAUUUUCGCUCAAUUUUUUAUGAGUAUGGACUGCACUUGGCGUUAGUCAUUGAACUCAUUUUACGAGACUCAAGUUCCAACUUAAGCCAAAAACUGAAACCAAACAAAUGAAGUAAAAAACUCAAGUUCCAAACUAAUGCGUGAUUUUAGUCAAAACAAUGUUUAUUUUUUGACAGUAGUUAGUUUUGGAUUACAGCUAUAUCCCUACACCCCACAAACUAUACCCCUCUCACCAAUAGACAAAACAAAAGAGUAGGUGGAAGGGUACAUAAUUAAGAAAAAGUUAUGUGAAAAACAAUAUUUUCUAUAGCCAAAACCAAAAGAUAUAUAUUGCAUUAUUGCAUAUAUACCAAUAAAAGAAGUACUGUGAAAUACAAGAUAAUGGCAUUAGAUUAGAAAUGGCCAAUUUGAUCUGUCUAUUUUUAAUCAUAUUAUUUAGAUUUGUUCAAUCUUUUACCAAAUCUUAUUUAGUUAUGCAAAAAGCAACACCUCUCGUUGAAAGAUAAUAAUAACGAUUUUUGGCAUAUGUUACUAAUAUUGAUUGAAAAAUGUUACCAAAUGAUGCAACUUCCCAACUCCAAUCCACUCAUAAUUUCAAACUUCGCUACCAUAUGAAAACAAAAUCACAGGUAGAAAUGUGUUGGAAAUCCUCAACAACUAUUGACUUUUGGUACAAAAGAGUGCCAAGUCAUUACUAAUUCAAGAUUGAGACAUGCAGCUGUGAGUGGAUUCACUAAGAUCACGACUAGUAUAAAAGGAGCUGGUCACACUUGUAUUUUAUGCACCAAAUUAUAAGUCACUAACAUGGCUUCCUCAAACUUUCUAAUGAUGCUCCUCUUUGCUCUCUUUGUCAUCCCUAAGGGGUUUGCCAACUACGAGAAACCUCCAGAGUAUCAUCCACCAGUUGAAAAUCCCCCAUUUUAUAAACCACCGGUAGAGAAACCACCUGUGUAUAAACCACCAAUAGAGCAACCUCCAAUUUAUAAGCCACCUGUAGAAAAUCCUCCAAUUUAUAAACCACCAGUAGAGAAACCACCCGUGUAUAAACCACCGUUUGAGAAACCUCCAAUCUACCAUCCACCAGUAGAGAUACCACCAGUGUACAACCCACCAGUUGAACAUCCUCCAAUUUACAAGCCUCCUGUAUACAAACCACCAGUAGAGCAACCUCCCGUCUAUAAGCCACCAGUAGAGAAGCCUCCAAUUUACAAGCCACCAGUAGAGAAACCUCCUGUUUACCAACCUCCUGUUUACAAGCCCCCAGUUGAGAAACCUCCAGUGUACAAGCCACCUGUAGAAAAGCCACCAGUGUACAAGCCACCUGUAGAAAAGCCACCAGUGUACAAGCCACCUGUAGAAAAGCCUCCUAUAUACAAACCACCAGUAGAGAAACCACCAGUGUACAAACCACCCGUUGAGAAACCCCCGGUUUAUAAGCCACCAGUAGAGAAACCACCUGUGUACAAGCCACCAGUUGAGAAGCCCCCAAUUUACAAGCCACCAGUAGAGAAACCACCUGUAUACAAGCCACCAGUUGAGAAGCCUCCAGCUUACAAGCCACCAGUUGAGAAGCCACCUGUAGAGAAACCACCAGUGUACAAGCCACCGGUUGAGAAGCCCCCAAUUUACAAACCACCAGUUGAGAAGCCUCCAGUGUACAAGCCACCGGUUGAGAAACCACCUGUCUACAAGCCACCUGUAGAAAAUCCACCUGUUUACAAGCCACCAUUUGAGAAACCUCCAAUUUAUAAACCGCCAAUAGAGUAUCCACCCGUGUACAAGCCCCCUUUUGAGAAACCCCCCAUCUACAAGCCACCUGUAGAGAAACCUCCUUUUUACAAGCCUCCGUUUGAGAAUCCACCAUUUUAUAUACCUCCAGUUGAGGAGCCUCCUGUUUACAAGCCUCCAUUCGAGAAGCCACCAAUUUACACUCCUCCAUUCUAGAGCCCACCUUACCACCCAAAGUUCCCUCGGGCAGGCGAUGGUACUCGUUAAUAGAACAUGCUAUGAAGAAAAUAUGUUAAAUAAGAGAUAUAUAGAGUUUUUUAUUUAAUCAAGGAAUAUAUAUAUUCAUGUAAUCUUCAUUUCAAUACUUUGUUUACAAUACUCUUGCUAUGAUAAGAAUAUGAGUGAAAAACAGAGAAAGAAAAUAGUGUGCUUUUCUAUUCGAAAUUAUGAAUAAGAUUUCUAUGAUUUAGAUGUUGUGUUGGUUGACUAAAUCGUGAUACAUCGACAGAGGCAGAGCCCCUCAUGCGCCAAGGUGGGUCAUGGCCCACCCCCAAAUUUUGUUUCUUAUUAUAUAUAUAUUAUGUUUUGUAAAUUUUUGAUGUUUUUGUAGCAUGUUGUAGUGGUUAAGAGCCUUUUUGCCAAGUCGUAUGUGCUAGGUUCAACUCUUGCCAAAACCAUUUUUAUUUAUUCUUUUAUUUUCUUUUGUAUAAAAAAAAAACAUAAUUCAUAAUUGUUAAAAUAAUCCUUUUUUUUGUUACUUAAUCCUUUCUUUCUUUAAUAAAACAUAACUCCUUUAUUCGAUUUAAAAUAAUCUUUCCUUUCCUUACUCUUAUUUUUGGAUACAAUUGUCUCUUUACUCUUUUAUUUUAAUUUUUUUUUUAUACAAAGGGGACUUCAACUCUUUUUUGUCAAAAAACAUUCUCUUUUAAAACAUAUAACAUAUUUUUUAUACUUAGUCGUUUGAUUCAAUUCGAUUUUAUACCUAUACAUCUGUUUAUUGAAGUCGAGUCAUUUAAUUCAGUCGUUAGGUUCAAUGGCCUAGUUGUUCGAUCAAUUAUCUUGAACUUUAUCAAGGUUGAUAAACAGUUCAUAUUUUAAAAUACCGGUUUAAAUUAUAUUCAACAAAUAACAAAUUUAUAGUCAUUGGAACCAACCAAUAAUAAAAUGUACUUGUAAGAAAAUAAAGCCUCAUCACUAUUUAUGGCCCACCCUAUACUUUUUUCCUAGCUCCGCCACUUUACAUCUUCGUAUUCUUUAGGAAGUUUCAACCUUGUUGACUAUGACAACAGUGACGACUAUAACGAGACUCGCUAUUGACUAUGACAACAGUGACGACUAUAACGAGACUCCCUACUUUUUGGUUUGCUUCAACAGGUUCUCAACAUAAAUAACUAACCAAGUUAAUUUGCCUGUGAAAUGUGAUAUUAGUAAGGUGCAUGAAGGUUAAGUUCUUUAGCAAAGCUUAGUAUCUUGAAUUAAAGAAUAUCGUUAAUUAAACUAAAUAUUCAUAUUAGGUAUCACAAUUUUCAAGACUUUAUAUGUACGUGUUGAUCCAUUAAUUAAGAGAAAUUAGACUUUAGACCCGUGCGUCGCACGGGUCAUUUCGACUAAUAUAUAAUAAUAAGUAAUGGUAAAAAAAAUUCUAAAAUAAAUAAAAGAUGAAGAGUAUUAUACAUUUUACUUACUCAAGUUCAAAAAAUAAAGUAGGAGAUGACAUGAAAUCGUUUAGUUGAAACAAACGAAUAUUAAAAAAUAAAAAUUAGACAACGACAGGGAUCUAAAAUUCUAUUUCUAAUCCUUCACAUAUCAAAAUUACAAUUGGUUCUCUUCAUUGUAAUCAUCUAAACUUAAUUAAAAAAUUUACAAGUGCAAAUAGAAUCGACAUUAUACAAGUCACUACUUGAUUCCAAAAACCUAUGUUUCAUGAAAACCACUCAUACCUAAAUAACAAUAAUAAACCUUCAAAACAAAAAUCAACUAUUCUCAAAGGACCCAAAAGAAAGAUUUUUAGCCUUCUAAAUCACAAUUUCUCUUGUUGUAUUGUUUUUGUGUCAAAAGCACCAUAAGUUGAAUAGUAGGCUCAGACACAUGACUUUCCUCAUAAGACAAAAUCACCAGUUUUUUAUAGGUUGAAAAAAUAAAUCAAAUAUCCUUAACUUUCAAUAACGCUUAGAAACAACUGAAACUUUUGCAUUAUCUCAAUCCACAAACAAAAUUGAAGACCUUUAUAUUUGCUUUAGGCACCUUAAGGAAUUCUAUGUAAAUUGUUUUCCUGCAAUGAAAUGCUAAACACAAUGAGCAAAGAAGAAGAAUUAACAACAAUAUUUGGAUUGUUUUAUUUAGCUUACAAUUCUUUAAACUAAUCAANAACACAAUGAGCAAAGAAGAAGAAUUAACAACAAUAUUUGGAUUGUUUUAUUUAGCUUACAAUUCUUUAAACUAAUCAACAAAAAAUUAAAUUUGCAUUAUAUCCUCCACAAUAUCAAGAAUUUUUCAAAGGGAUCAUUCUAUUUGUAUGGCUAUGAUGAGAACUCAUGUGUGUCCAUGAAGACCAGCUCUACGGAUAACCAUGUUCAUAUUAACUAUUUUAGGAGUGAAAAUAGGAUUGGAUUGGAUUUAGUAGUGAGCUGUUGUUUUUGAUUUCAGAAGCAUUUGAAAAUAACAUUUUGAUUAAAUGGAAAUAAUAGGAAGAAUUUGUUAAUAAAAGUGAUUUUUUUUUUUUUUUUUAUGUUGAUCUUUUUAUUGUUGUGUUAGAAACAAAAUAGGACGAAAUUGUAUUUUUUUUUUUAUGUUUAUCUUUUUAUUGUUGUGUUGGAAACAAAAUAGGAGGAAAUUGUUAUAGGAAUAGGAGGAACGAUUUUUAAAGUUUAUCUCUUAAUUAAACAGGUUUAAUUGAACACGGGGGUAAUAACGUAAAAGUCAUCAUAAAAUCUAGGUUAAAAUUAGGUUAAAAAUUGGCUUACGGGUUAACUUUUAUAUAUAAAGAAGUCAAGAGAAUCUAGAUCUGUGAAGCCCCGAUACUUCAAAAUGGAUGAUGUAUCGUAUCCGCUGCGUAUUCUGUAUCGAUACCUGCCCGAUACUUCUCAAAUUUAUGAGUUUUAUUUGAUUCUUCGAAUUCGAAUUUUGAGAAUUUUAGGGUUUGAAGGUUGGUGAUGGAGGUGAAUCUGAGUUUAUAUUAAGAAUUGAUGAAGAAUUUAAGGAGAGUGCAGUGAUGGAUAGGUAACUGAGUAUGAAUUGGUAUGCAGUUUGGAAAAACAAAACAAGAGGCAGUAGCAGCACCCCCACCCUUCCUCUACUUCUUCGACAAUAUGAGUGUUAGAUUCAUUUUCCUAGGUGUGAUUUUGAGGCAGAUGAAUAUGUGUGAGAGAUUGUAGAGGAAGAUCUCAGAUAUAGCUUUUAGGGAUGAACAUGAAUGAAUGAAUUUGUAGAUGAAGAUGAAUGUUGUUUGAACAUUUAAUUAAGAAAUUUUUAAUUGUUUUUUGUUUUAAUAUUUGAAAUUAUUAAAUUGUAUUUUGAAAUUCAAAAAACCUGUUUUAAUGACAUGUAAAUGACAUUUUCCAAAUUGGCAAUGCCACAUAGGCAAAAUUUUACCACCUGUGCAUUUUUGGAUGUGAAAAUAGGGGGUAAGACUAAAACUGCAACAAAAAUGAUAAUUGAAAAACAAUUUUAAUCUGUUUUAAAAGGGCAGGACCAAUUUCCUGAGUAGGCCACAACACGAGGACCAAAAGUGUAAUUAAGCCUUAUAUUUAUGUUGAUGUGCUACAAGCUUAUGACUGGUUUCUUUUGUUUGAUAAUAUAUUUGCAUAUUAAAUAAAAUGGUUAUAAUUAUAUUCUACAUUUAAUUAUAUAAUUUUUUUAUUGACGUAUCCCAACCAUAUCGUAUCUUGAUUUUUGAAAUUUUUUCGUAUUGACGUAUCGGUGCAGUAUCGUAUCUCGUAUUCGGGCUUCAUAGAUCUAGACUAUUAAUUUUUUUGAUAAACAAGAUUAUUAUUAUUUUUUGACAAAAACAAAGUGAGAUUCAUUCAUUCAAAUUGAUAGAGUACAUCAGAUACAAACAUUGCUAAAAACGUAAAGGAUAAAUCUAUGAACAAACUCACAACACUAAAGUUCAUACAACAGCAAAAUGUCUACAAAUAAUAUGAUAAAAUCUAAGUCACCAAAAUAUUCAUGCUUCCGGGUAUGCAACGUUGGCGCCCAAAUCAUUGAUUGAAUUUGUAAUUGACUAAUGUCGAUCUUUCAACAUGAACUAAACGAACACCGCGUCAAGACGCGAAAUCAAACAUCACAUAAGACCACUAACAACACAAUGCCACAAUUAGAUGACGAAAUCACAAAAACUCAAAAGGGAAAACUUGAUAUAUGUGAAAACCAUUUGUUUAGAUCGAAAGAAAAGAGAAAAAACGAUGUAGAGGGGUGAUUUUAGGUCAAAAAUGACCUAAAACCAGUUCUUUUUAAUAAACGAAGGAGAAAGAAUGUUUAGAGAGAAGUUGGAGUUUUUUUUUACUUAAAAAAUUAGGAUAAGCAAAAUUAUUAUAGAGGGAUAAAGGGCUCCCCAACCCAUAUACAAAAUGAUGGUUGCAAUGCCAUGUAGAAAAUAAAAAGAUAACAUUGCCUUUCUUUUUACAAUUAAACUAGUUACAAACCCGUGCGUUGCACGGGUUUAAUAACGUAUUUUAUAAAAAAAAAAUCUUUUAAAAGAAAAAUGAGCAAAUUAAUGAAUAUUGCACAAACAUUAUAAAUCUUUAUCAAAAUAUUUAUGAAAGCUUUAUCAAGUCUUUAAUACACAUUAAUAUUUGUGAUGAUUGAUAAAAGAAUUAAAAAGAGUAAAGGGUAUAGAAAUAAAUUUAUUAAAGAAUUAACAAUUUGUUUAAACUUAUUUUUGUUACAAUUUAGACCAAAAAAAAUAUUGGACUUCAUUGAGUUUCUCUAUAAUUUUUUUAUCAGGCUUGAAGUUAUGACUCUGAGUUUGAAAACCGCAAAAUUCACAAAAAUUAUUGAAGAAACACUAUAAACAAAUAAACGGCAUCGUCAAAAAUGAAAUCAUAUUUGGCUAUAGUGAUCAAGCAAACAAAAAAAAAGAAGCAUAUUAAAUACCUAUAAUCAAUGGAUUCUAAUUGCAUAGAGGCGACACUUAUACUUUCUCUAUGUUUGUUCAUCAAUGAGAGUGAUUAUUUUGCGCUUUCCUUUCAGAAUUGUUCUUGACACCUAGUUUGGGAAAUGCUAAACAGGGAAAUAACUGUAAUAUUAAUCUAAUGCAUAUUAACAUGGAUAAGAUGUAUGCGAAUAUAGUUAUAUAUAACUUAUGAAAUGAAGGUAACAUAACUGAUUUUAAGCUAAAGAAAAUGUACCAUGACUUCUAAUUUAUCUUUCUAUUAUCUUCCUAUAAAGUCUAGAGAAAUGCAUGCAUGUGCAUUAUAUGUACCCCGUUGACCAAUUAACAUUUUUGAAACAAAUGAAAAUUAAGCAUCACUCCCGCAUGUGCAUCUAUAGCUAACACCAUUUGACAUUGAUGUCUUCGAACAUUUGGUGCAACUCUCAUAAUACCAUCCAAACUGGUUAGGAUUGAAUUUAGUUGUUUUUCCAAAUAGUGAUGGAGUAUGUAUCCUAACACAAAUUAUGCACGUGAAAUAAAGAAUAGUGCAAUAUGCAUUUUUAAUUUGUGCGUAAAAAAAUUCAAAGCAUGUUUGUGAAAAAAAAAAAAAAAAACAGACCUUGACUAAGUUUAUAGAUUCAUCAAUUGGCCUAACUUGAGACAGAUUGGAAAAAUCGUUCUACGAAGUACUUUUUAAACUUUACUUUUUAAUCUAUCUGAGCUUGAGAAGUGUUAAGUUCACGACAACAAUUCAAGAAACAUGGUCAAUAAACAAUCAAAUCAGAUUGUGAAAUAAUAAGUUACUCUAACACUGUAUUGUGAAAUCAUAAUGCAAACUUACUAAGUCUUAAACUUUUCAACAACCGGAUGAUGUAGGUUGAUGAGCAGCCUCGAACCUGACCAAUUGUUACAUCUAUUUGCGUUGUCAUUGACUACAAAAUAGAAGCAAAGAAUUCAAGGUAAAUAAAUGGUAAAUGAUAAAGCUACAAAGUAUUUUACCCAUAAUGUUACAUCAACUAUAUUCCCAAUGCUCUAAAUCUCUAUAUCGAGUUAUUACAUGAACUCGAUCACCCUAAAUCCGAGAAAGAAACCAAAAAAUAUAAAUAAAUCAAAAUGUAUACUAAUAAGUAACAUUGAUAAAUCAUAAAAGAAAUUACUACAAAUCUUAACUAACUUAUCUAACCUUUGCAUCACAAAUAAUGAGCUUCAUAUGUUGAUUCUCAUUACUACCAGUCACAAUUCAAGAAUCCAGUACUCCAAAUCCUAUUUUCCAAACGUCUAAAUCAUUUUUGAGAUACUUAAUGUAGUCAUAAUCCCUUGACAUUGAAAUUCAUAUAUAGAAAUACAAUAAUACAUCAUUUAAUUUUAUUCCCUUUGUUCAUUCUGAUAUCGAAAGAAGCUAACAUAUUUCUAUGUGAUCAAUUUUUGUAUCAUCAAAUUAACCUGAUCUUAAAUGUACAAAUUUCUAUCAUCAACUUUCUGGACCCCAAUGAUAUGAUCAAAACAAAUUUACACCAAUCAACUUUUUGCACGGCUCAAUGAUAUACGAAAGAAUAAAUAAAAUAUGAAAACUGUUACAGCUUUAGGAUUACUCACAAAAACUAAAAUAAUUGAAAUGCAUCAAUUAUUUUCAACUCCUGUACCAGAAGCUAAAAUAACAAUUGUGUCAAAACCUUACCAUCAGUUAAAAUUCAGUCAUCAUGACCUCUACUAUACUCCACAUAACAAAAGACGAUUUUUCUACAGCCAUGCAACAUAACAAAUUUUGGUACAUAAUCCAAUAACAAUUGGAAAAAAAAAAAAAAAACCCUUAAAAUGCAUAAUCAUGAAAAAAGGAAGAAAACCAUCUAUGAUGAAGCAAAAACUAAAACGGUGUCGAAAAAUGAAGCCCUUAAGCCAUAAAAAUCAGUCAACUCAAGUCAUGCAUGGUCUCAGAACCAUGAAAAAAGAUAGAAAAUGACCUUUUUUUUUUUUGUGGUGGCCGGGGUUUGAACUCCGGACCUUGCAUAUUUUAUGCAUUGUCCUACCAACUAAGCUAAGCUCACGAGGACGAAGAAAAUGACCUCUUAUGAAGAAGAAAGUGAAACAGUGUUCCCGACUGAACUUAGAUACCGUUUGGUCAAGGUUUUUUACAUUAUAAAAGUUACUUCAAAACAAAGUAAAAAUAAAGGCCUUUAUGAAAGAAACUAAAGUUAUUUGGUUUUUUUGUUUUGUUAGUUUUAAAGCUAUUUAAGUUUAAUGUUGUUUGGCAAAAUAUUGUACAAACUUUGAAUUUAUUAUUUUUUAUAUGGUGUCUGGGGUUCGAACUCCGGACUUGGCAUGUAUUUAUGCAUUGUUCCUAUCAACUGAGCUAAACUCAUGAGGACAAAACUUUGAAUUUAUUAUUAAUUAACAUAAUAAAUAAAUAAAAUGUUUAGAAUAAUUUAUGAAGGCUAAAAAUGUUAAAAAAAUAAAAGAUAUUUUUUUUACAAAUACGAUAUUUACUCAAUAACGUUUAUUUUGUGUAACAUGAAUACAAAUUAAUAUCAUCAUAUAAAUAACUUGUUAAAUAUUUGAAUAGGAGAAACAAUUUAAGGAGUCUGGAAUAAUAAUAUAAAUAAUAUCAAAAUAUUUGAUUUUUUCUAUUUCAAUUAUACUCUAUAACAAAUUUCGUUAUAAGAAUACCAUAUUUUUUGUGUCUUUCAAAAAGAUAAGAAUUUAUAUUAUAUGAUAUUAUAUUUGUUACAUUGUUGGUGUCAUGGAAACAGAUAUGUUUAAUUUUUUUGAACAUGAAAAUGAUAUGCAUAGUUUGUUACGAUAUAAAGGUGCAAUAUAUAUAUAUAUAUACACCUUUUUAGGCAUCUAUACCUUUUUUUGAAGAAAAGACAUCUACAAUUUUACUUUUAAUUAAAAUUUAAAUUUUAUAAAAAUAAUCAUACGCAUUAUGCAACGCUAAAAAAAAUUAUACACAUUAGCGUAACAAAAAAACAGACACACAUAAAGAAUUACUCUAAACGCUAAUGUGUAUGUGCGUAUAUAUUUGCGAGGUUGAAGAAAGAAAAUACAAAUAUUUGAUAUCAUUAAAUGACAGCGUGAAUAAAAAUAUUUGUGAAGUUGUGAUGAUUAAACGAUAUUGAAAUUAUAAGUGAUAAAAAGAUAAUAAAAUUCCUUUGAAAAAAAGGUAAUAAAAUUAAAUGGAACCUCCUUAAAAAAAAUUAAAUUGAACGCUUCAAAUUAAAUGGAAGAAAAAAAUAUAUUGAAGUAUAAUAUUAAAAAAUAAAAAAAAAGGUUCCCAACGUGAAUUGAAGAGAGAUGCUUGUGAAAUAAAUUGUCGAGAAGUAGUUUUUUGAAGAAGCAUUCAACAACUUUUGGUCAAAGUUCAUUGCAUUCAAUUUUAUGCAUUAAAAAAGGUACAUUUUUUAGAAAGUACUUAAUUGAUAUUGUAUUUGACCUAACUUCUCCUUAAAAAUAUAGGGAAGUUGAAAAAAAAAACCGGGUCAAACGGUAUCUUAAUUUCCCACAACGGCAGUGUAGAAACAACUGAAUUUGGGAGAAAAAAAUUGGAAAAUAGUUAAAAAUAAAAAAAAUUGAAAAAUAGUUAAAAAAAAUCGGUGAGGUAGCACCUAACCAAACAACACUAAAAAAAAUUAUAUGCAUCAGCGUAACAAAAAAACAGACAGACGGACAUAAAAUAUUACUCUAAACGUUAAUGUGUGUGUAUAUAUUCGCGAGGUUGAAGAAAGGAAAUAAAAAUAUUUGGUAUCAUUAAAUGACAGCGUGAAUAAAAAUAUUUGUGAGGUUGUGAUGAUUAAACAAUAUUGAAAUUAAAAUAAUUAAUAUUGUGUUUGACCCAACUUCUCCUUAAAAAUUUAGAGAAGUUGGAAAAAAGUCGGGUCAAGCGAUACCUUAAUCUCCCACAACGGUAAUGUAGAAGCCACUGAAUUUGGGAGAAAAAAUUGGAAAAUAGUUAAAACUAAAAAAUAAAAAAAUCGGUGAGGUAGCACCCAACCAAGCAACACCAAAAAAAAAUUAUAUGCAUUAUCGUAACAAAAAAAUAGACAAACAGACAUAUAAUAUUACUCGAAACAUUAAUGUGUGUGUAUAUUCGCGAGGUUGAAGAAAGGAAAUAAAAAUAUUUGAUAUCAUUAAAUGACAACGUGAAUAAAUAUAUCUGUGAGGUUGUGAUGAUUAAAUAAUAUUUAAAUUAAAAUAAUUGAUAUUGUGUUUGACCUAACUUCUCCUUAAAAAUGUAGAGAAUUUGGAAAAAAGCCGGGUCAAACGAUACCUUAGUCUCCCACAACGGCAAUGUAGAAGCAACUGAAUUUGGGAGAAAAAAUUGAAAAAUAGUUAAAAACAUAAAAAUUGGAAAAUAGUUAAAAGUUAUUAAAAAUUAGAAAAUAAUUUAAAAAAUUGGUGAGGGGCAAAAUGGGAAAUUUGGCAUAAAAAAGAUGAGGUGGCACCAAACCAAACCCACCAAUUAGAAAAUUACUUAAAUGCCCAUUCCAGGGACAAAAUGGGAAUUUCAUAUGGCAUCAAUUUUAAUAGAGUAUAUAGACCACUCACAUUACACAAAUGUUGAAAUAUAUGAUGCAUAUUACUUUUUAAAUUUUUGGUUUAUAGUUGCAUUUUUUUUAGGGUUAAUAGUGUUUUUCACCCUUGUAAUAUAUGUCAUUUUCGGUUUUCGACCCUAUAAAAUUUUUAGUUUUAUUUUAACCCUCGUAAAAUUUUUAUUUUCCGGAAAAGACCCUUAAUAGGCCAUUCAAAAACCAAAAUUUCUUGAAAAAAAUUCUGAAAAUGGCCUAUUAGGGGUCUUUUCCGGAAAAUAAAAAUUAUACGAGGGACCACCUGUUGAGAAACCACCUGUACACAAGCCACCAGUUGAGAAGCUACCUGUUUACAAGCCACCUGUAGAGAAACCUCCGGUGUACAAGCCACCUGUUGAGAAGCCCCCAGUUUACAAACCUCCAGUAGAGAAGCCUCUAGUGCACAAGCCACCAGUUGAUAAACCACCUGUACACAAGCCACCAGUUGAGAAGCUACCUGUUUACAAGCCACCUGUAGAGAAACCUCCGGUGUACAAGCCACCAGUUGAGAAGCCCCCAGUUCACAAACCUCCAGUAGAGAAGCCUCCAGUUCACAAACCUCAAGUGGAGAAGCCACCUGUAUACAAGCCACCAGUUGAGAAGUUUCCAAUUUACAAACCUCUAGUAGAGAAGCCUCCAGUGCACAAGCCACGAGUUGAGAAACCACCUGUACACAAGCCACCAGUUGAGAAGCUACCUUUUUACAAGCCACCUGCAAAGAAACCUCCGGUGUACAAGCCACCAGUUGAGAAGUCCCCAGUUUACAAAC